Molecule: long non-coding RNA, 64494 nt
Filed under: Citrus maxima (pomelo)
Lineage: Eukaryota; Viridiplantae; Streptophyta; Magnoliopsida; Sapindales; Rutaceae
Description: long non-coding RNA (CMAX_LNC000095)
Source: RNAcentral
AUAACACAUGUAAGCCUGUAAGCGUCCUCUACCCCGGAAGGGACAACUGCCCAGGAGCUACCCCCAAGUAGCUAAAAAUUCUCAUAUAAAAAGGUUAGAGGGGCAGGCGGAGUCCUAGAUCAAAGAGGUCAAUAUGGAGAGCAAUCCCAUCAGACUUCGGACACUCAGGUCGCUCAUCCACAUGGGGUACCCUAAGCUGGACAGACGGAGGAAUAUUGUAUUUGGCUCUAAUUUGUUCCAAAUCCUCCAAAGUAGCCCUCCUAGUGCCUAGGGAAAAAAGGUUGCCAGAUUUUGAAGGUGUGGCAGUGGGAGAUUUGAGAGGCUGGUCUGAGGAACGAGCUGGAACCUUAGCCUUGGUUGACCUACCCUUCUUUCGAGGAUGGUGGGUUGGCCGUUUACUGGGAAAACGUGGGCUGACACGAGGGGUACUCCUAGGGGGAUGGAGUUCAGAACGAGAGUUGCAACUCCUAGAGGUACUAGGGGGGACCUAUCCCCCUCGCUAAUGGAAAUGUGGGAAGGAAGACCCGCAGGAGGGCUGUCGACCCUACUAGCCCCAAUUGGAUGUCGCUUCCUCACGGGUCCCGUAUGUUUCUUGCCCAUCUACUUUCCCCCAACAACACAUUCACAAACCCCCAACAAUACAUCCAACAAGCCACAAGUUCCCCAACAACAAGCCACAAGUUCCCCAAACAGCAACAUAUUCAUACCAAGCACCACCCACCACACAUCAACCACCAAAUGCAAACACCAACCACAAAAAAAAAAAAAAAACCAAACAAACAAACAAAAACAAAAACAAAAAUAAUUUUUUCUCAGAGUAUGCAAAUAACGCCAUUGUAAAUGCGCCAAAAGGAGGAGAAAUGAUGAGGGAUACCUAUGAUUCACCAACUCAGCAGAUCGAGAUUGAUAAUCGUGGGGAGACGAAGCUGCAGGCAACAAAAAAAACAGUGGGUAAAAAUAUGCAAAUAUAAAAAUAAAAAUAAGCUUAAAUAUAUGUAAUUAUUUAUAAAUAAGUAAAUAAAUAAAAUUAAGAACAAAGAAGCUGCAGCAACCGGUGUCAGCUGUAAUGGCUGCAACCACCGAGAACCGACGCCGGAGAUCGCGAGAAGGACGCCAAGGGAGACGCUGCCGAAAACAAAAAAAAAGAGAAGCAAAUGAAAAAACGGAGAAGCUGCAGCAAACCGACGGGGGGGGGGGGGAGCUGCAGCCACCAAACCGACGCCGACCGCCGCAGCUGCAGCCACCAAAACGCGGAAAAUCUCCAAGAAGAACGCCGGCCGAAACGAAAAAGAAAGAAGAAAAAAAGAAAGAAGAAAAAAAAAAUCGAGAAGCUGCAGCCACCAAGAAAAAUCGGCUGCCAUGGCUGCAACCUCCAAAUCAACGCCGGCUGCUGUGGCUACAGCCACCAAGAAAAAUCGAUGCUGGAGAUCGCAAAAAGGAGAGAAAGAAGAGAGAGAGAAGGAGAAAGAGGAGAGAUGAAGUAAGAGAAAAAUGAGGAAACAAGGAAGGGGGAGGAUUUCCGCACUAUUGCCGGGUUGGAUCUCGCCGUGAGCCGCCGGAAAACCGCGUUGAACCAACCAGAUCUGGAACCAAAACCGCCACUGCAGCAGUCGAGAAAACACGCGAGAGAAUAUCGUCGGCCGAGAAAAGGAAUGAAAGAAGAAAGAAAAAGAAGAAAGAAAGAAAAUGGAGGAAGAAAAGAGAAGAAAGAAAACGGGAAGAUGAAAGAAAUAAAAAAAAGAGGAAGUGAAGAAAGAAUAAAUCCCAGGGAAGAACGGAAGUAAAAAAAAAGAGUAAAGAAGAAAUUUUUUACAUAUGAGCAAUGUUGAUGCAGUUAGGAGAAGAGACGAAAUUAUGAAAGAAAAAAGCUACUGAAAAUAAUCAAUUUUUGGGAGAUCAUUUGGGGAUUUUCAAAAUAAAUGAGAGAAGAUUGACACACGUCAGAGGUUUUUAAUUCAACCUGACAAAACACGUUGCCCAAGAAAGGAGUUCAGGGAUGUUUGAGUGAGAUUGGUAUUUUCAAAAUUCAAACUGCAUGUCAGACAGCUGCCAUUUCCCAAAAAAUAGGACAGAGACAUGAAGACAACUGUUCGUACUCAUCGUCAAAAAAAAAAAAAAGCGGGAAAAGGAAAAGACAAAGAGAAGAUUUUUAGUUCGAAGUACACAAAGUUUAGUCAAGGGAAGAAACUAAGCAAGGUACCCUCCGAUCCAGCCACGUCGCCACGUGUCACUCAUAUAAUGAGUUUCUUUUGCCUCCAAUACUUCUCGCCAAAAAGAAACUAGGGGGAUGUUGUUUGAGGGAAAAAUAGGAAAGGCAGUAAAGCACCACGUGUCGACCAACGGGAUGAUUCCAACACAAUCUGAGGUACCCCGCACCAUCCGAGGUGCCCGGCGUAAUUUGAGGUACCCCGCAUAAUUAGAGGUAUCCCACACAAAUAGAGGUACCCCACACAAUUAGAGGUACCCCAUAUAAAUAGAGGUACCCCACAUAAAUAGGGGUACCCCACAUAAUAAGAGGUAUCCCACGUAACUCGAGGUACCCGGCAGAACGGAUGCAAGAGAAUCCUCCAAAAAUAUCUGCCAUGAGAAACGUCUCCGCCUCCUAAAAGAUAUUAUUCGAUUUUGUCAGAAUUAGGAAUAAAAAACUAUGUGCUAAAAGGAGGGACAGCCGCUUGCCACCUCUGCUAAAAUGAAGGACAUUGUCCCAAGGACAGUGGUCCCCAGCCGCCUACCCGGCAGCUACUGCAGAGGUACCCUGGACCACUCUCCAGCGCGCGCCACGUUUCUAAAGGAUGAGAUACGCCGCGAACAUGCACAUAACGGCCCAAAAAUCAUAAAAACGGUAAAAGGACGUUAGCCAAAAAGGGUACGCCACGUGGCAGCUGAGGUACUCCAUAUAUAAAGGCGGCUAGGUUUCAUUCUCCAUUAUGCUCUCAUUCACCCAAAAAACACCCACACUUCGAAAAAGAGGUUUUCUUCAACCUUAAAACCUUAAUUUACAGAGGGCUAGCUAGAUCUCUUUGCCAUAAAAGCUUGAGUUUGCUAACUUGAGCGUCGGAGUGUGAACGCCGGGGUACCCCGGCUUCACCUCUAACCUCUAUUUCACUGUUUUGCAGGUGUGCAUUUCAUUUUGAAGGAUAUCUCUCUUGGUUUUGACCUUUCACCAUUAUUACCACUCUUUCUCCCCUUCUCACCUCCCCCGAAUUUCAGAUACACCACACCGCGCACAACAAACUAGUGAGGUACCCCAUCUCCCCCAAAAAUAUAAAUUCAUUGUUCAAGAUAGAUUUUGGCUUUUCCUACCCCAAAAUCCGUUGAAAACAACUCCCAUUAACCAACAAACAACUAAAAAUUUUCAAUAAAAAUUAUACUAAUAAAAACUAUAUUUAAAAGUUCAAUUUCAAUAAUAAUACCAAACAGAGGGCAAUAAUGGUGAGCAUUUGCUUCCUCUUCGAACCUGCCAUCCCAUGAAUCACUUGUUAUAUGUAACAAAUUGUUGGGAAUAAAAAGUGAUGGCGUAUCGUCAUCUUCAUCAGUUAUUAAUUCCCUUUCCAAAUUGAAAUUUCUUGUUGUUGGUUAAGAUUAAUGAAAAUGGCUCCUAUGAUUUUUUUCUGAAUUGUUGUAAUCCUUUUACUAUUCAAACCAUGAUGAAAUAAAUAAAAAACGACUACAAUAUUUAUUAAAGUAUAAUAUUUUCAUACAUUAACUAAACCCAAAAAAAAAAAAGUUAUAUUGUACUACUUCUAACUAUCAAAAUGCAACAUUCAUCAUUAUGUUAAUUGCCUUGUAAAACACGAAUGUAGUCCUCAAUGAAUAAAUCUAUGAAAUUAAAAAUUUAUUUAAAAAUAUUUAUACUUAAUACCCGAAGUCUACUAAAGUCAACGCAAUGUGUCCGACAUAAAAAUUUAUGUAUUUCACAUUGUCAUCAUGGGGAGGAAGCAGCUCUAAAACCAUUCAAACAACUAAUUAUUUUUGUAGUGCAAGCCAAGUUGAACAUGGCAUCGGAGAAGAAAGUAUGAUUUCUAUAAGAAAUUAGGCGACGAUCAAUAAGUCUGCAAAUAGACACAAGACGAUAUCACAAAUUUGAGCUGGAGUGAGGGAAGAUAACAACUUGAAUUCAAUGUGAGGUCCAAACAACCUGAAACGUUUCAAAAUAUUGCAAUGCAGUCUGGAAAUUAUACAGUAAAAGCACUUGCUUGACUAAGUAAUUCCAUUAGUUCUGCGUAUUCUUCACAAACAAGAAUCACAAGACACAAAACUUCAGAAAUAUACUAAAAUAACAUCCUCCUCAGACAUUAGCACCGAUGUAGAAUUUCUGACAGGUUGCAGAUACAAUAGAUUUUAAAAAAAAAUCAUCAAAGAAAUAAGAUUAUCAGAAUUGGUGACAAAAUAUAUGGUUUUUCUGCAAAAUGACUGGAUUCUGUACCAAAUGCCGAUGCCAAAGAAACAAAGAGAAAUUUGAAGGAACUCUCAAGGUGCAAAUUGUGAUGCCUUGCACUGGAUUCAUUUCACUCCAAUGCCUCGACUCCAUGCUUGUUUUCACCCUAGAAUAGAAAUACAACCAUUGAAUCAGAAUCAAUGUGAUGCUCUGUAAAACUUUAUACUUUCACAGAAAAAUGGAAAGUAAAUAUGAGAUUUUGUAACAAGCUGGUAGACAAGGAAAAAUAUAAAAACUCACCCUUGGAAGAUUUGACUACAAUAUUUACGGUCUUGGCCAUGCAUCCUCUGGCUUCAUCUUCAAAACUUUUUUUCAUAUCCACUAAGGUCAGUUCCUUCAAGUUGCUCAACUUAUUCAAUUCAGUAGGCAUCUUUAGUUUCGGGCAAUUCCUGAUCUCUAGUUCUUCUAGUGCAGUCAUGGCUCCUUCCUUGAUAGUCCACUCUUUCAGCUCCUUCAGCACCCAUAACUUCAAGACACGAAGUUGAGGAAAUCCACCAUUGCCACAAGUCAUUUUCUCCCCUAUGUAAGAAUGAGCGAAAAGCCUGAGAGCUUUCAGUUCUGUUAGCUGUCCAAGCACUGGCAUUGGGUCUUCUGAUAGGUAUGACAACGACAAAGUAAAGAUUCUGAGAUUUGGGGGAAGCUCUUCUAGUUUAAAUGGUCCUGGUAAUCUUCCUAGCAAAUACAGCUCUUUCAGCUCCUUGUGAUUUUUCAGAGAUCCAAUAGCAAGGUCUGAGGGUCCAUAAAAAUCAUUUAUUGAUCUCAACCUCAAAGACUCAAGACUUGUCAGUCCUUGAAUCAAAUUUGUUAUCUUCCCAAGUGAUGCAAUAUUGCAGAUCAGACCCAAAUUCUUAAGACCACUCAAGUUUUCCAACCAAUUCAAUGGAGGACUCUUUUUGCCGAUUGAUAAGCCCCACAGUGUCCGAAGGUUAGUUAAAGAAGGUUUAACAAAUGGCUUCCGAACUGACAUUUGCAAAUGAAUAUCAUUCAAAUAGAGGUGCCUAAGUGUCUUUACCUUCCAGAUGGACUUAGGCAAUGAGGUUAUAUUAGUGUGCUUCAUAUCUAAAGUCUCAAGGGAAUGAAGAUCACCUAGUGAUUUUGGAAUUGAAUCAAUAAACGUCCGUCUCAGGCCAACAUACCUCAGAAGCUGCAGCUUUCCUAUUGUUUCCGGUAGCACUGGUUUGUAUACAUCUUCAAGAUCAAGCACUCUGAGCAAUCUGUAGCCUCUUAUAGCGAUUACCAUUUUAAGCAAAUUGCCUAAUUCACCUGCAGGUUUACCUCCUUUUCUUUUGACAAAAAAUAGAUAAGAAUGCAGAUAUUCGAACUGUUUUUCGUCAGGAGUUAUGCUGCUGAGGUUGUCUAAAUGCUCUGCAAGCCUGCGGACACAUAAGUCUGAAGAACUGGAUGUAGCAUUUGAUCUGCUACCGUCAUGGAUGCAAAAAACUCCCCCGCUCUCAGCAUCUGGAAAUAAGUAAUCAGAUAGAGAACUUGGCACACGGCACGUUUUAGGCCUUCCAUCUGACUUCAGUUUUACUACUUCAAUCAUGUUCAUAAGCACAAGUUGAUGAAAAUCUUUCUUUGCCUGAUCUUCAGGAGCCAUAUCUUUCCCUUCAAUUGGUGUGACGAGUCGUUCAGCAAGCCAUAACUGAAGCAGCCUCCUGACAGAGAUCUCAUAUGAUUUGGGAAAGAGACGGAAAUAAUGAAGACACGCCUUUAGAUGUGGUGACAGAGACUUGUUGGCGAGGACCCAGAUUGAAGAAAUUCCCCUGGGAGAUGACUGAUCCAAAGUUGUAGCCUGAUCAUUAUCAACAGUACUACCUCCCUUCGAUUCAACUUCCAGCAGCAUCUUUUCUGAUUUUGCUCGUAUUUCACUCACUAAUUUCUCCAUCUUAUUUCUGAAACGGGCUUGGAUAAUAAAAGACCUCAAAGGGAUGAUGACCCCCGGGAAAACUUUACCGAACGCCUUGUGUACGCAAACUCUUUUCCUAUUUUGAAUUCGGAAUGUGUGUGCGGUGUCCUCUGCUUGGAAAACAGCUUUUAGAAACUCAAGACUUACGUCAUUAAUUUCAUUUUCUUUCAAGGACUUCCCAACAUCUUCUAGUACUUUACUGGAAUUUUCCAGCUGAGGACCCAAUCUUCGAUCUUCAAACCUCUCUCGAGACAUCUCUUUUAGUAUCCUCACAAGAGGCAGAAUGGUUGCCUCCACAGCCAUGGAUUCUCAAACACCUUUGUAAGCCCAACUAGCUAAAACUGAUGCUGAUGCUAAACAAAGAAAUGAUCAAAAUGAAUGGAUGCAACUGCAACUGCGCAUGUUAUCUAUCUCACAAUUAAACAUUAAGAAAUAAAUACCAAAUGCAUGCACAUACAGAAAGUGAGAAAUAUAAAAUUUGUAUUCUAACAGGUGGGGUGGAACCAAAUCAAUGUAAAAUUAUCUUGAUUUCAAAAGGAGCUCCAAUGAUUUAUUUAAUAAAAUAUUUGAUAAUUUAAACAAAGGCAAACACAAAUUUCAUGCUUUAAUUGAGUAGCAAGUAUUGAAUCAACCUUUGAGCAGCUUUCUCAACAGACACAUUGCCACUGGGAAAAAGAGAACGAGACAUAAGGAAAGCAUUUGUUGACACAUUCAAACAGACGUCUCCACUCUUCAACCUUUUGUAAAUUUUUAUGCGUAAUUUGUAAGAGAAAUUACUCAAAUGAGAAGAUAGUAUGCUUCUAACAAUGUUUUUUUUGUAUGAAUAUGUUCAGUCAGGAUAACAUGAAAUUGCCAAACUACCCUCAAAAAUACUUUUCUUGACUAAAAAGUUAGACAUCCCAAAACUUCUUUUUAAAAUUAAAGUAUCUAUUUCCAAGUAAGUUAUCAUGGAGUGAACACAUCGAUUUAUGAAAUAAUUUCUACAUUUACAUACACUCGAUCUAUGAUUCCUAUACAACUAAGUUACAUGUACGUCUGUACAAGGAAUCUAUAGAUGUUGAACUUUGCAUUUUGAUGACAAGGGAAAGAUGCAUAUUGUAUUUGUUUUGUUUUUAUUUUUUAUUUUUGAGGAGAAAAUGCCACUUUGAUUUCCUUCUUUAUUUAUUCUUUUAAUAUUGAAUUUCAUUUUCUUUUUAUUAAAUUAGAGCCAUCAUUUUCCUUUCAAUUUUGAAAUAUAAAGUUUUCAAUCUUUCCUCGGGGCUUGAAGCAGGGAAAAAAAAUAACAAGAGGAAAAAUCAAAGAAACCUUUCAAUAUGGUAUACAUAAAUAAAUUGCAAAAUAAGCUCAAUAGUUGUUCUUGAAUGUGUAAGAAAAAUUAUUAAGAACGUUGUUUAAGCAAAAUAUUGGCAAAAACACAUAAAACAAUUAUCACCUUGGUGCGUAUAAGAUGAAUUUGUUGGGGAUAUACUUUUUGUGGGGAAUAACAAAUAUAGCUUGGUGCGUAUAAGAUGAAUUUGUUGGGGAUAUACUUUUUGUGGGGAAUAACAAAUAUAGAGAAUUGUAGUAAUAAUGGUAAAACUUUAUUAUAAUAAGGUAAUGUACAACUCUAUAAUUAUAAAGAAACUCUAUAAUUAUAAAGAAAAUAAUAGUAAUAAAUAGCUGUAAGAAAUUAAUGUACUUUAAAGAGUAUAUUAAUUUCCUGCAGCUUAAUUAAUGUACUUCAAGUCACGUUGCAAUAUAUCGCUUUACUUAAGACAUUAUUUGUUAUCAAUUGAGUGAUGUACAUGAAUUAGGAAAAUCUAUCUGCAAGACAUAAUGAAGUAUUUAAGCAGUAGGCACUGACAAAAACAAACUUGAAUAUUCUUGAAUAUUGCAAGCUUCCCAAGAAUCAACAUAUUGUUCCGCCAGUAAAUAAUAUAGUGGAUAUUUGUUGCAUAAAAUAUAGAUGUUAUAUGAUGAAAUUCAUCUUAUGAAAGAGGUCUAAGAAAAGAGUGAUAUAAGAUCAUUUUCUUCAUAUCUAAAUGGCCUAAUAAAACAUGGCACUAUUGAGAUAAUUGUAACUUUUUGGGGGCCUGCAGAGUGUUUAAAUGAUGGACAGAGUAUUAUUGUUCAGUAGCUAAAUGAAAUUGGAAAAUGAAAUAUUAAAGUUGUUUUUCUCUUGAUAUGCCUUAAAAAUACAGAAUUUUAUGCUACUAGUUUAGAGUACCUGUUUUGCUGGUUGUUCCAAUCAUAUCCAAGAAAAAUAACUCAGAUUAGAAUGAAAACAAGUUCUAUUAUAGCAUAUAUUGAAUGCGUCUUUUCUUUUUCGCUUUAUAUUGCUAAUUUGUAUUUAAUUUUUAUCAGAUGUAGAAACUUAAUGGCUCGUUGUACCUAUUACGUUGUAGUUGAGGGAUGUAAGCCGGACUAUUACAAAAUAUCGUUAUCUAAUUAAUUAAUUAUCAACUAUACCCAUCUCUAUAACUUGUAAUAAUAUAGUGGUAAACUAUUAUUACUUUAUCUUUUUAUUUUCUUCAAAUUAACGUCACUUAUCUUCAUAAUUUUUUAUGAAUAUUUUUCACAUAAAAACAUUAUAAACUACAAUAAAAUUAAUUGUCAUAUACUAAUUUAGAAUAUAAAGCAUUGUAUUUAAUUGAAUGUGAUUUAUAUUAUUAUAAUAUAUUAUCUUAUUUAAGUUUUUUUUGGAGUGUUUAAUAUUUAUUUUUAUUUAUAAUUUGUAAGGGAACAAAUGUAAAAAUAAUAGUUUUAAAUUUUUUUUUUAAGUUAAAAAAACUUAACAUUUAUUUUUUCGCAAUUCAGACAAAAAAAAAAAAUCAUUUAGAUUAAAAAAUUUAGUCCCUAAUAUAAUCAUUUUCUUCAUUAUGUCCAUCUAAAUCGUUGUUGGCUAAUUACUCCAAAUCUUUAACUUCAUAAUUGCUUUUCAAACUGGUCAUUUUCUACACCAUCAACACAAAUUGUAUUAACCAAAUAUACUAUCAAUUAUGAAAAAAUUAAUUUAAAAAAUUCUAAACAAUAUCACUUAAAAAUGUAUCCACUGCACUAGCUUUAAAAAAUUCAUCCACUACACUAACUCAAUUCAAUUAUUACACUUUGUAUAAUAAUCAACUAAAAGAUCCAUAUGAUAUCAACACACAGCGUAUAUAAUCUCAAUUAAACUAGUCACCUCAAUAGGUAAAAGAAGAUCCAAAUUCAUCAAGUACAAUGUCGAGCAGAGUUGUAAAGCUAGUUGGCAAUGUGAAUUGUGUGACAGGUGGUUGGUGACAUGAGACAACUGGUCGACGAUGGGCAUGUGUGAGAGAGAGCUUCAAGAGGUCGAAUGACAAUAGAAGGAGGAGAAGCUGUGAACAAAUAUUUUUAGGAUUUUUUGAGCGGAAGAGAAUUUACUUUUUGGACUCUUUAGGUUACCUACCUUUAAUAUAUUUUAAUUGUAAAAAUCUAUUUUUAAUUUUGAAAAUGAAAAGCCAAAAUGACACAGCUAGCUAGCCCGUCAUUUCUGACUUCCUUAUGUGCUGCUGGUGGCUAAAUAUCAUUACUCUUUCGUAUAAUCCUAGGGUGGUCAGCUCUGUUGGAUGAUGAAAUUAAGAAGACAAAAGACAAAUAUCAUUAUGCAGAAAAGCUAAAGAAUUUGAAAAAAGUGUCCAAUAAAAUACCAUUUUUUUGUUGAGUUGAAACUUUCAUAUCACAACAAUCAACAUACUUGGCUUUUAAAACUCCAGGAUCGUGAUACCCAAAUGUUAUGUUAAUAUAAAAUUAAAGUAUUCACUGAGUGCCACCAUGCAUGUGACAUGGAUGUUAAUUAAUAGACAAAGCUAAAAAUAUUUAACCUCAAGCACGCCUCAGUGGUUUGUUUUUAGCCAUAAUCAAUUUCCUUUGUGAGGUGAUGAAUCAAGUUUGGUUUCCAGAAACGGCUGCGUUUUGGAACUGUAAAAGCUUCGUUAGCUCACGUGCUGCUCAGCUGAUUUAUAACAGAAAACGAUUUAGUCGAAACGACAGGGAUGGAGCGCGUUUUACAUAUCAGUUUAAGUAACGCGUGAGGAAGCAUGUGAUGAAGGUUGUUCCGGGUUCGUUAAAGGUUGUUGACCACGUGUCAACAAUCUGUACAAUCUGGAAAUCAAGCUGGCUAUCCAUAACAGGGUAUAAAGGCUGGUUUUUGGGGCAAGUUCAGAUUCGAUUCGUGAGUCUUGUAGUGAGGGUUUUGUGUGAGAGAAAGUGUUAUCUUGUUCUCUGUAAAGUCUGGUGUAAGGCUCUGUAACAAUCUCCAUUGUUGAUUCAAUAAAGCUCAUCUUGAGGCUUCUCCCAUGGAUGUAAGCUGAGCAUUCCAUGCUCAGCUGAACCACGUAAAAUCUUGGUUUCUGUGGGUUUCUUGGUUCUAGAUUUUGUUCAUGAUUCAGUUCUUGUUCUUUUGUUAAUAAGUGAGUUUAUCUAAUUAGAUCUUGGGUUUGUGCAACUUGCAUUGACUAGAUCACUAGCAUCCUGGGCAGUGAUCAGACUAGUUGGGUUUAAUAGGCUUUGCUGGUCACUACAACGAUGGAUGAGAUAUGUCCACCAAAGGGAAUUAGUGCAUUUUCAGUUUUAGAAUGGAGACAUUUUGAUUAAAAUACAAAACGGGAACCUUUCUGCCUACGUGUGAAACUUGCUGAGUAAAACGUCAUUUUUUCAAUUUCAAGCAGUGACUUAAUAAAAACAUUUCCCUUUUUUGAGUUCAGUUAUAAAGGAAGCAUACCGCAUCUUUGUAGACGUUGCUGGAAUUAUUGUGUCCAAUCACGGAGCUCGCCAGUUAUUAGAUUAAUUCAGCCCUGGAAGAGGUGACUGUAUAUACGUUUCACAGCUCUAUUAGCAUUCUCAUCUGAGGAGUGCAGAUAAAAUGUUUUAGAUUUGUCUACAGAUCUAAACUUACUUGGCUUUACAAGUAUGUAAACAAUUAUGAGAAUCAUAAUCAAAUUCAAAUUUUAAUUCGAAAAGUUCCAAAAUAUAUUUGAGCUAAUAUCUAAUAAAAUCAUAAACAAGUUAACUUAACCUUAUAUCUGGCAGAUACCCGCAUGAAUAUCCGUCGGACCCACAAUAUUUUUAAUUUAAUUUUAAUUUAAAAAAUGUAUUAAAAAAUUAUGGAAUCAUUCAAAUUACCAAAUAGCCAAAGGCCCAAAGCCAAAAUUGUGUAUGUGUGUUUGUGGCUCAUCUCCCAUUCUAAAGUGAUAACCUAAAGAAAACUAAAGACAUUUCCCUUUGACUUAGCCGCACAUCAUCUGACCAUCUCUCAUCUCUAUCUUCAUUCAACAUUCUUUUAUUCUUCAGCUUGAGCUUGUGACAGUGAGCCAGCGCCCUGCACCCAACUCCCUUCACUGUCGACAAGGACACGUCGUGCUGUUGCAUCUGCCUAGGUACCGUUGCUGUUGCCAUUAUUUUUAGAUACUAAUUUGUGUUUUUUAAAUGGAUUUGUGUAAUUUAUACUUAAAUUUGAUAAUUUGUGUUGGAUUGUGUUGAAAUUUUAAUUUUUCAUUUACAUUGGUUAAAUAUAAAAUUGAGUAUGUUAUGUAGAAUUUGAGGUCAUUAUUAUAAAUAUAUAUAUAAAACAUUUGUAAUUAUAAAUGUAGAAACCCGCAAAAAAUCCGCUGGGUACCAUUGUGGGUUUAGUAAUUUUCAAAACCCGUUGCGGGUGGAUUUUCUUAAAAAAAUUAAAACCCGUUGCGGGUUGCAGGUGGAUUUGGUAAUUUAAAUUUUGUACGGGUUUGAGUUUGAGUUUGAGUUUGAGUUUGGUAAUGACAAACCCGCUGCGGGCAGUGCCGAUUGCCAUCCCUAACACUGCAUCAGUUACACUGUGCAUCCAUCAAUUUUUUUUGUGUUAAUAGUGACAAUAUUAUUAUUAUAUAUAAUAAGUUUUCAUGAUAAACAUGGUAAAGAACAUAAAUAUAUAUACAAUGAUUAACACUAGAAAAUGUAUAUUUAAUAAAAGUUAAAGUUAUCAUUUUUCACUUAUAGUGUUGAUAACACUAAAAAUUUUAUCAUAUUUACAAAUCAUUGGCUCAUUUUAUAAAUUGUUUAUUUUUAUUUGUUUUAAAAUAUGAUUUUUUGAGUUUUGUAGGAAAUCCUUAAAUUCAUGAUGCUUGGAUCGGAAAAAUGGACAUGAAAUUUGGACUCAAGCGAUUUUGAAACCUUUGGAAGGAUUGUUAGCCCUUCGAUCCAAAAUUAACUCUGAACGGUUCAGAUUGUGCUACAUGUUUGAGUUCAUGUGCACCUUGUUACCCUAGAUUUAACGCCCAUGAAUCUAAUAUUUCAACAACCUUGACAAAUGAACCAACAGAGGUCCCACUUUGAUUUCAUUUGUAGCCAUUGAUUUGUUGAAUCUAACGACCCAUAAUGGUUGCAAUUUUAGACCUAGGAUUAUAUCACUAAAACUUAUCUAAAGAUUGUGGUUGCAAACUCACAAAAAAUAUCAUGUUAAUGCACAUAUUUGAUCAACUCAAUGUUUUCCUAUAUAAAGGCAAGAGCUCUCAUAAAUUUAAGUACAGAUUUGUAGAGAGAAUUAGAGUAUUUAUAGAGAAAUAUGAGAGGUGAGUUUCGUAGAGAAAUUGGGCGUAAACCUAUAGUGAAUUCUAGAGAAAAACCUCUCCUCUUCUCUUUUGUUUUCAAUUUUCUUGUAUUGUAUUUUAUAAAAUUUGUUAAAUAAAACGAGCGUUUUUCUUGCCAAUAUGAGUGAUUAAUUUUUCUCAGCUAAAUUAAAGGGUGAAACUCAAUAAUUUAAAUUGUGGAAUUAAUUAUUCUCUUUAGUAAGUUUUAAGUUUAUUGUUUUUAUUUACAUAGUUAUAAGUUAUAUUUUCUACCAGAUAUUUUCAUUCCAUGUUAAUUUGUAGAUCGAGAUCCCCUUUAAAUCUAUGUGAGUAUCUAGACAUAAUGUUGACACACCAAUGUUAUAAUGACAACACUUUAAUAAGACUAUAGCACAUUAUACACUUAAUCCCAUAUUCAUCCAUAUAGUGGUUAUUUAAGAAGAAGUUAUAUAAUAUUUAAACUAGUGAAAGAAAUACAAAAAUAUAAAUAUGAGAGACUAUUAUGAUAAUGAUUUGAAUAACAAUAGUGAAUACCCUAUCAUUUUUUUUAAUUUAGACUAUUUCUUAUUAAUUUCUUUUUAUGUAAUUAUUUUUAUUUAAUAAUUAACUAAUAGAUUUUUUAAAUCCCUUGUGGUUCGACCCCAGAAUCAUUAGAUUAUAUUAUAAUUAUGCACUUUUAUACUUAGGAGUAAUCAGCCACUUUUAAGUCGUGCCAUACAACGAAAAAAAUAUUACCAAUAAUGAAAAAUAGAGCAGAUGUGAGGUGCCGCUGGUACACCUUAAUCACACUUUUAAUUCAUUUCCAUGCACCCAUAAAACAGAUGUUCAUGGUACAGUAACAAGCCAGCAGCACUUGUUGAUGCAUUGACCAUACAUGAAAACUUCAGAAAGAAUUGUUUUACUUAGGGAACGGGCUAUGAGAAAACUUGAUGUCAUGUCCUCAAGAUUGUCAUUAUCAGUGAAGAGCUUGUGGUGGAAAUCUUGCAAAACAAUAACCCAUCAGAACUUGUCGGGGAUGCUACUGACAUAGACCUUCCAAUGCUUAAGUCAAAGAUCGAGAGUGGUACGAUAAUAAAUAAAUAAUAAAAGAGAGAAAAUAGAGUAAAAAAAAGGCUUGGAGAAUAUUGUAUCCCCUCUUUAAUAUACCUUUGAGUGGCGACCUCUUUAUAUAAGAGAAAUAAUUAAAAGUAUAAUUAAGUUAAGAAAACGUAUCUCCUAUUUUAUAGGAUUUGAGUUUAAUGAGGAUUAAGGUUUAUAUUAUUUUAUCUUAUUUAUAUUAGGACAUGUUGUUGUAUGUGAGUCUUGAGGCUUGGGAUCAAUUUUUUUUAGCAUCAAGUCCAAUUUGGUGAAAAUACGAGUAUAUUAGUAGUCCCCUAGUUUAUAGUAUUCAUAAGUUUACAAGUGAAUGCUAUGAAGCAAUAAAAUUUAUAAUAUGUUAGUUUUUCACGUUAACUUUGUUGAUUAUCAUGAGUUCUCAAAUGUCAUGAGAAGUCUUGAAUGACGUAAGGAAACCUUGAAUGAUACGAGGACAACUCAAAUGUCUUAGAGAUAUGUUGAAUGACAUGAGAUCGAGGCCAAGAGCAUGUGGCCAAGCUCCAUGUUAUAAGAUUGAGGCCCAUGAGCAUGUGGCCACGUUAUGUGUUAUUUGCUAUUAUUGAGAGGGAAGAGUUUGGUGGUUGGAAUCUUGCAAAACAAUAGGGUCUAACCAACGUACACUCUCUUCCGAUACUUAAGUUAGAGAUCGAACAAUACUAAAUAAAUCAUAAGAGAGAGAAAAGAGAAUAAGAGAAAGAUUUAGAGGAUAUUGUACCCUCUCCUCCAAUGUGCCAAUUUCUCCUUUAAUAAUCAAAAGUAUAAUUAAGUUAGGAAAUUUUAUCUCCUACUUGAUAGGAUUUGAGUUUGAUGAGAAUUAUGACUACUUGUACUGUUUUAUCUUAUUUAAAUAAAAAUAUGUUGUUAGAUGUGAGUACUCGACCUUAGGAUCUAUUCAUUUAUGUCAUUAUAUCGAGUUUGGUAAAAAUAUGGGUACAUCAAUACUAUUUUUUUUUUCUUUUUUAAUAUACAUUACUGUCGCUCUAUACUUUACUAUAAAUUUACUAAUAGAUUCACUAGAGCAUCAAUAAGCCUAGAUAAACAAGAUGACUAUUACAAUGACUACAUGAGCAUGGCAAAUUGCAGGCAUAGGCUUGGUCUUUUCAAAACUAGGCCUAUGGUCAUGUUAGGAAGAGUAUAAGAGCAGGCCUAUUGCGGGCUGGGCUCAGGACAAACCAGUGUUGGGCUUUUAUAUAUAUUUUAAUUAUAUUUUAAAUGAUUGUAAACUUGUAAUGAGUUAAUAAUCAAUAAAUUAUUAAAAUCAAGGGAAAUUAUCAUUUAUAUACCCUAUAUUUGCUCUGUUAUAAAAAAUACUACAAUACUUUGAGGGUGUAUCAAUCGUCCACCCUUAGUUAACAAAAUGUAUCAGCUGACCACCAAACCGUUAGUUGCCAUUUGAAAGUUAACAGAGUUACAGUGAAUUGACGAUUUUACCCUUGAAAAUUAUCACUUGUAUACCCUUAAAUUCUCUUUUUAUCACUUGUAUACCCUUAAAUUAUCACUUGUAUCAUAUGAAAAUACCAAAUUACCCUUCUGACGUCAUCAUACUUAAACGACAACUAACGGUUUGGUGGUCAGCUGAUACAUUUUGUCAACUUAGGGUGGACGAUUGAUACACCCUCAAAGUAUUGUAGUAUUUUUGAUAAUGGAGUAAACUAAGGGUAUACAAAUGAUAAUUUCCCUAAAAUCAAUAAUAAAUUAAAAAAUAUCUAUUUUAAAAUAAAAUAAAAAAAUAAAAAUAAAACAAAUAAAAGUUUAUAAAUUUAUUUUUUUAUUAUUAGAUUUUAUAAUUUAAAUAUGCUCUUAAUUAAUUAAGAGUUAAUAAAGAGUUUAAUUCAUUACUUUAAUUUAUAAAAUUCAUUUUUAAAAAAAAAUAAAUAAAAGGCCGAAGCUGACCCAAACUUUAUUUUCUUAAGUUUUUAUCUACAUCCUCAUGUGAAAGGCCUGGCUCAAACUAUCAUCUGAUGUCCCCUCUCUUUCUCGCAACAUUUUUUUUUUUUUUAAUGAUGCAUUGGGUGUGUGCAACACAUCGAAUCGCAAACUGCUGCUGGCAAAUGAAACUGAUCACAUGACUCGACUAGCUUACAGAAUCUGUAAGCUACAGACUGCAGCAUCAGCCGUUGGAUGUGGUUGGAUGUGGAGUGAGAAAUUAAACAAUAGAAAAAGGGAUGGUGGAAUGAUGGGAGAUGUUAGGUACAGAAUCUGUACCAUAGGCAUGUCCCUGAUCAUAAGGCUUCAAAGGUACAUUCCUUCAUUUGUCAUUUGCGUGUUGCUCUGCGAUUUGACUUAAGUUUCAAGUUAAAGAAUCUGAUUAAAAGUGUGGAUGCUAUGGCUGAAAAAAAUGGGUUCAAAUUUAACUCGAUGAGUGGCACUGGAGAGAUAGAAUGACGAAUCAUGAUGAGUAGGUCAGUUGUUACUACUACUGAUCCAUUUGGAUUGCAUGGAAGAGAUGAUGAAAUGAGCAGGAUAUUGGAGUUAGUGUUGAGUAAAAGUAGUGAAGGGCCAAGGCCAAACCUUCUUCCCAUUUUGAUUGUAGGGAUUAGAGGGAUAGGGAAAACAGCUCUAGCUAGGCAAGUUUUUGACGAUGGUGGCGUGAAAGCCAAUCGCAAUUUGGGAAUCUACUUCUUACCAUAGGGAUGAGAAAAGGGUUGCAAAAGUUAUUCUUCAAUCCUUGGAAAUAGGGAUGGCAAUUUCCGGGUCCGGGUCCAGGUUUGGCUGUUCCGGAUCCGGACCCGGAUACAAAAUAUUCAUAACCGGACCCGCAUUGAACCCGAAUUUUUUUAAUCCGGGUCCGGUCCGGUCCGGGUUGAACCCGGAAAAAUCCGGGUUUUGAACCCGGAUUGGUUUAUUUAUUAUUUUUUUGAGAGACCCGAUUGCUUAAUUUAACAGGGGAUGUUUUAAUAUUUUAAUGUAUUACAUGAAAAAACACAUUACGAUAAAACACAUUACAGUAUUCUUCCUAGAAUUGGUUCAACAAAAUUUGCUGGAUAAAGGGCAAAAAAAAGAACAUAUAUCACAUCCAGAACCAGACUACCAGAACCAAGUUACUUCACUUUGGUUCAACAAAAUUUGCUGGACAAAGGGCAAAAAAAAAAAAACAUAUAACACAUCCAACUUCUAAAACAAAUACAACACACUCAAAGUUUUAAAGUAAUAAACAUCCAUAAAUACAAAUCCAUAACAUAAUUCCACAAUUUAAAGCUCAAAUUUCCAGCCACUAGUGCUAAAGACUAAACUCUGAAUCAUCCACUUCAUUUGAUUGUUGCUCACUCAUCCAACUUUCAUCAAUCAAAUGCUAUGCAGAAAGUAUUGCUUCCUCUGGAAUUCCAUCUACAAAAAAUGUGUAAAUCACAAACGUAAUGAGCAACACAACCAAUUAGUGAUAAAUUGAUAAUAAGAAUAAUACACCAAAUAAUUUGAUUCUAAUAAAUAAAAUUUUCAUACCUUUUAAGUUUUGUUCAAGCCAAAACCAAUUUUGAGUGCACACCAAUGCCUCUACUGUGGAUGGGUGAAGUCUACUACGAUGAGGGCUCAAAUGUCUACCUCCAGUGCUAAAAGCGGACUCCGAAGCAACUGUUGAUACAGGAAUAGCCAAAAAGUCCCUUGCAAUCUUUGCAAGUACAAGAUAUUUGCCUUGAUUAUUCUUCCACCAUGACAAAAUGUCAAAUUGACUAGUUGAAGGCAAAGUACCCUCCUCAAGAUAAAGCUCUAAUUCUGAUUUAGAAUGAGUAUUCUGUGUGUUUUCAUUUCUAAAUAAUGCCCACUCAUCAGCCAUUUCAUCCAAAUCUAAAUCUAACAUAUUAGAAUCCCCUCCUGCAGCAGCUUGAGAAUUGGCACCAUUAACCCCCCCACUUGAAUUUGAUAGAUGAUUUACUUCAUACUCAUGCACUAAAUCAACAAAUAACUUACGCACUCUUUCAAUUUCAGAUUCAGCUUUUUCCCCAUAUAUUUUAGGAAAUAAAAAGUUAAUCAGUAACAUUUUACGCCUAGGAUCUAACAUAGUCCCCACUGCAAGAACUCCAUGAAUAACAUCCCAAUACUUUUCAUACUUCGCAAUCAUCCUAGUAGCCAUAUUUUUUAUCCCCUCAAUUGGUGAUUGCAACCAUGCAUUCAUUGACAAUCUAAUUUCACAAAUCUUGGCAAAAAAUAAAUUAGAUGUCGGAUAUCGUGUCCCCGAAAAAAGUUCUGUCAACUUAUAAAAGUUUUUUAGAUACUCACACAUAAGUUUUGACAAAUUCCACUCUGACUCAAUAGGUAAAGAUGUAUAAUUUCUUUCACGUUCCUUUAAACGAUCAAAUACUUCUUUAUACAAUAAUGCAGUACUAAGCAUCAAGUAAGUAGAGUUCCAUCUAGUUUUACAAUCAAGUACUAAGUUUUUGGUUUCCUUAAUACCUAAUUGUUUUUUUGCAUUCUCAAAUUUUUCAACUCUAGCUGGUGUUGCUGUCCAAUAAUGAACACUAUCUCUAAUUUUCCCAACUCCCUUUUGUAUCACAGACAAACCAUCUCUAACUAUCAAGUUCAAUAUAUGAACACAACAACGCAUAUGAAAGAAUUUGCCACCCAUAAUCAUUGAAUUAAUAGAAAAAUUUCCCCAACAACAAGGCAAUCAUAGAAUCAUUUGCAGCACAAUUAUCAGCAGUUACAGAGGACAACUUUCUAUCUAUAUUCCAAUCCAUCAAACAAUCAUAUAACUCAUUACACAUUACCUCAGCACUAUGUGGAGCUGGCACAUAUAUAAACCUAACAAUGUGAAAAAAUAAUUAAAAUAUUAUACAUGACAUUAAUUUAUACUUAAACAAAAAAAACAAGUUUCAAGAAUAUUACCUCAUAAUACGACUUCGCAACACCCAUGAGCUAUCAAUGUAAUGUGCCGUAAUAACCAUGUAUCCUUUUUUUUUUUUUGUUACUAGCAGUCCACAUAUUUGUAGUAAUUGCGAUUCUACUCUCACAAGCUUCCAAAAUACCCAUUGUCUUUUUCUUUUCAACAUCAUAAAGCCUUAAAAUUUCAGCUUUGAUGGUGUUUCUACUAAUAGUCUCAAUAGAAGGUUGGAGUAGCUUCAACAAGUCAUAAAACCCAACAUACUCAACAAAUGCUAAGGGAAGCUCAUGUAGUACAAUCAUUCUAGCUACAAAAAGCUUUACUGUAGCCAUAUCCCAUUUUGAUUCAGAACUACAAUUACUAAGUGAAGUGCUUCCAUCAACUCUAGAAGAAAAAGAUAGGUGCAUUUGCUGUACAUUCUUAAAUGACCUUCUAGGACAACGUUUAGCAUGGUUUUUUAAGUGAUUAGUACCCCUCGAAUAAUGUCCUUGCAUAACUAACCCACAGUAAUUGCAAAUUGCUUGAACUUCUUCACCCAACUUAACUUUUUUGAAAUGAUUCCAAGCAUCAGAGACUGCUCUACCACCGCCAUCUCGUUUUUGUGAAGUGACAGGAUUAGUAUUACCCCUACGGCCACGACCACGGCCACGACUACAACCAUGAACUGCUGCUGUUGAAUUUGGUUCUAAUUCAACAGCUGUAUCACUAUUAUUUUCUGAUUCUGUCCUAACUCUCACACAAACACUUUCAUCACUUUUUUCAGAGGCAUCCAAGUUGAUUCUUUGUUCAUUUUCCAUAUCAAUUUUUCACUCUACAAAAAUUACAAACACAGUCUAAUUAAAUUGCUAAGACAAUCACAGUAUCCUAACCGAAUUUCGUUAAUCUAUAUGAAGAGAAUAAUGCUUAAAAUGAAAGAAAAUUACAGGACAUUAUUAAUCAAGAAUUCAUAAGAUUAAGAUUUUCAAGAGACAUUAUUAAUCAAGAAAAUUACAGGACAUUAACUUUGAAUUCUUAACAAGAACAUUAGUAAUCAUGAAUUAGAGGGUACUGGAUUUUAUCUAGCCCUCCGAUUAAUUGGAAAAAGCAUGCAAGAAGCUAGCACAGAACAAAAACAUAAUUAAUUAAUACAAAUCAAGUCCAUUACCACUUUUUUAUUAACACAACCCCACAACCACAAACUAAAAUAUAAUUAAUUAAUACAAAUCAAGUCAAAAAAGGUACCUAAAUGCAUCAAUAACAAAAAAAGUUGCAAACUUUUGAUGAAUUAAAUAAAUAACAAAGAACCAACUUUUUGCUUACGGAGAAAUGGAUCCAAGAAACCACAAAUGAACUCAGCCGCGACUGAGAUGAAUUUCAACUCUUUUGCUGGCCGCGACAGAGUGAGAUUACAGGAGAGUUGAAGAAAGAGUGAGAGAGAUUAAGUGAGGACUGAGGAACGAGACACGACUCACGGGUGAGAGCGAUUGAGAGAGGAACGGAUUACAGAUGAGACUUGAGAGAUUGAGAGGAGAAAUUUCAGGAGAAGUUUUGAGAGAGGAACGAGAGAGAUUGAGAGAUCUAGAUCUAGGGUUCACUUUUGCUUUUUUUUUUUUCUAUUUAUACUUAGGGAUUUAUGGAUAAAAAAUUAAUAUUAAAAUAAAUAAUAUCCGGGUCCGGGUUCCGAAUUUGCGGGUUCACCUGAAACCGGAUCCGGACCCGGAAAUAUACGGGUUGUCAAAAAUUGAUCCGGAUUUCGGAUAAAAAUUACUCCGGUGCGGGUUGAACCCGGACAGGAUUUUUCGAGUUUAGUCCGGGUCCGAUCCGGGUCCGGGUUUGGUUGCCAUCCCUACUUGGAAAGUAAGACGUCAAGUCUUGUUGAAGUGGAAACUGUGUUGCAAUACAUAAGUGAAGUUGUCUAAGGAAAGAAAUUCCCUCUUGUCUUGCUGAUUUGUGGUGAAAUGAACGUGCUAAAUACUGGGACCAACCAAAGUACUCUCUGAAAUCUGGCUCGAAAGGAAAUAGAAUUUUAUUGACCAAAAGUGAGCAGAACAUUGUAGAUAAAUUGGAACCAGCUCUAUGCUUUCACUAGGAGACUGACCGAUCAAGAUUGUUGGUUAUUGGUCUGCCAAGAAGCAUUUUAUGGAAGGGCCCUUCAUGAGUAUCAAAAAUUAGAAGACAGUGGGGUUGUUGUUAAGUAUAAUGGCUUGCCUUUUUGCUGUAAAGAUUCUAGGAAGCCUCUCGCGUAUUAAGACGAAACAUAAUUGAGUGGAAAAGUGUCUUCGAUAGGGAGAUAUGGGAACUUGACGGAGUAGAAAAUGAGCAUAUUAGGUCUCUAUUAUUGAACUACUAUGACUUGCAUUGAGGAAAUGCUUCUUGUACCGUGCCUUCUUUCCCAAAAACUAUGAGAUAGAGAUAGAUUGAUUGGUCAAGUUAUGAAUGGCUCAGGGUUAUCUUAAGUUGGAGGGAAGGGAAGAUAUGGAGUUAAGAGGAGAAAAGUACUUUAGAAACUUAGCCUCAUGCUAUUUAUUCCCAUAUUUUCAAAGAAAUGAGUUUGAUGGUAAAAUAAUAAGGUGCCAGAUGCACUCCAUAGUGCAUGAUUUUGCUCAGUGUCUUACAGAAAGCGAUAGUUUGAAUGCAGAGGUCAAGGAUUCUGAUUACAAGUGUCACUCAGAGUCUUCUCAUGAAAAAAUUCAGAAUUUAAUGAUAAUGUUUGAAAGUGAUGACCUCUUUCCUAUUUCAGUUUACACUCAAAAGAAACCGCGGGGCCUUGUGGUUGAGCGUGAAGGGUAUUUCAUGAAGGGCAUAGUUCUGUCUGAGGUGUUUGAUCAGUUGACAUGUCUGAGGACACUGGAUUUGAGUCCAUGAUAGUGUUUGGUGUAAAGUGAUUGAAGUGGUUCCCAGAGGAAUAAAAUGAUUAAUACAUUUAAGGUACCUUACAUUAAUAUCUAUUACAAAAGUCACAUAUAUUAAAUUAGUAAGUAACGCAACAUGCAAGGGAUACAAACUUCUUUUACAAACUAUCAUGAACAAAUUAAUAGUCUAAUACAAAAUUGUUACAAAUAAAAUCGAAUUUAGAUUCAAAAUUAACUUUUUCAAUGGUGGCGUAGGCACUUUAUAAAUGUGGACUAUUCCCUUUAUAACACAAUAGUUAAAUCGGAGCAAAUCAAAAGUAAAUAUUAGAUUACAUUAGAUUAGAUAUUAAAAUUGUGAUUCAUUGUGGGCAAUUAUAACAUCUAAAAAUAAAUAAAAAAUAGAUUUAAGUUUAAAAUAUUUAAAGAAUAUUAAAAUUAAAAAAAAUGUUUGGCUAUUAGAAUCUACUCGGUCUUUUUAAUGUCCUAAAUAAAAAUUUAGGACUUUAAUUAGUUAAUUAGGCCUAAAAGUUUAAUAAUAUAAAUAUUUUGAUAUUUUUUAUUUUUACCAAUAUUUAUAAUUUUAUAAUUUAAAUUUUAUAAUUUAUUUACUAGUAAUUUUAAAAAAUUAAAAUGGGGAAAUGGGUAGGGGAUGUGGAUUCCACCUCAUUCCCGUCCCCUCUCCGAAUAAGAAAUUGGGUAAAAAAAUUUCUCCGUCCCCUCCCCGAAUAAAAAAUUAGGUAUGAAAUUAUCCCCAUACCCUCUCCGAAUGAAAAAAAUUCUCAAGAGUACUCGUCCCGUGGAGAUUUUUGCCAUCCCUAAUACUAGUUGGCCACAAGAAGGAACGUUUGGACAUAAAAGUGGCGAUGUCCAGCUCAUUUGGCUUUGGUGGACACAAUUCAUCCAUCUUAUUCGCUCCUUUUAAAGGAAAUUGAUUAAUGAUUAUGGCUAAAAAAACCCUGACCACACGCGUGUACUUGGUGUUAGUCAAUUUACAGCAAUUAAUUAACAUCCAAAUCCAAGUGCGUGCAUCGUGGAACUCUGCCAAGACGUUAAUUUUGUAUUGGCAUGACAUUUGGGUAUUGUUCUAAGACCACUUCGUUUGAUAUGUAUUGAUUAUUAUGAUGCCGCAGUUUAAAAAGACACGUAUGUUGAUCGAUCCUUGUGAAAUGAGAAAUAAAAGUUGAGAUUUUGAUAAAAUUUAGGACACUUUUCAAACCAAAUGAUACUUGUCUAUUAUCGUUUUAGUUUCAUCAUCCAACUGAAGUGAACCAUAUAUUUGAUUAUACGAACGAGGUAAUCCAUAGGUAAUAAUAGUUAGAGGUGGCAUAGCCGUGAUGGUGAAUUUUUUGUUAUAAAAAAUUUGGGAUGAAGUUUAGUAUACCAAAAACUAAUUUUUGACUUGAACUAUUAGCAUUUUUUUUAAUCUCAUUAAAUUCUUAUUUUAUUAUAAUUACAUAUAAGGAUAAAUAUAAAUAAAAUUGAUACUACUUAUAUUUUCAGUUUCUCACUUAAAUUUAUUUUAUAUUUACAAUAUAUUAUAUUUUUUUUUCUCUCUUCUCAAUCUAUAUAAUUGAUUCUUGCACAAACUUAAAAUAUUGAUCUUUUUUUAUAUUAAUCAUUUUUUAUGUUUGGGAAGUUAUUUUUUUUAUUGAGAAAGAAAGUUUGAAUAGAAUAAUAGAGAUAUCAAGAUUUAAAUAAAAUAAUACUGUAAAAAACAAAUUAACUGUGAGAAAGUUACAGAAAAUAAAAGUUUUACAAAUGAAAAGAGUCUUUUUUAGGGGAAAAAAAAGGAAAAAGUAUUUUUGACAUUACGUGGAAGAUUUUGUAGAGGUGGCCGCAGAUCAACUCUUAAUUCUCUCUCGAAAUGAAUUUCUCUUGAACAACAUUUAAGUGAGAAAUUGGAUUAAUUAAGAAUAUACAAAUUAUAAAUGAGUUAAUCUCAAUAUUAUCACUAUUUAAACACGUGCCUUCUUUCCCAAAAACUAUGAGAUAGAGACAGAUUGAUUGGUCAAGUUAUGGAUGGCUCAGGGUUAUCUUAAGCUGGAGGGAAGGGAAAAUAUGGAGUUAAGAGGAGAAAAGUACUUUAGAAUCUUAGCCUCAUGCUCUUUAUUCCCAGAUUUUCAAAGAAAUGAGUUUGAUGGUAAAAUAAUAAGGUGCCAGAUGCACUCCAUAGUGCAUGAUUUUGCUCAGUGUCUUACAGAAAGUGAUAGUUUGAAUGCAGAGGUCAAGGAUUCUGGUUACAAGUGUCAAUUGGAGUCUUCUCAUGAAAAAAUUCAGAAUUUAAUGAUAAUGUUUGAAAGUGAUGACCUCUUUCCUAUUUCAGUUUACACUCAAAAGAAACCGCGGAGCCUUGUGGUUGAGCGUGAAGGGUAUUUCAUCAAGGGCAUAGUUCUGUCUGAGGUGUUUGAUCAGUUGGCGUGUCUGAGGACACUGGAUUUGAGUAAUCAUGAUAGUGUUUGGUGUAAAGUGAUUGAAGUGGUUCCCAGAGGAAUAAAAGGAUUAAUACAUUUAAGGUACCUUAACUAGUCUAACAACAAAAAGAUAAAAGCUUGCCUGAGAUGUUGUGCAAGUUGUAUAAUUUACAAACCUUGGAGCUCAGUUGGCGUAGCAGUCUCAGAAAUUUGCCUCAAGGGAUGAGGAAGUUGAUCAACCUGAGGCAUGGAGAAAAUGUUGGGACUCCACUUAGCUACAUGCCAACGGGAAUUGAAAGAUGCAGUUAGUUUUUGGACACUAAGUGAAUUCAUUGUCGGUGGUGGAACUGAUGAUAAAAGGGCUAGUAAACUUGAAUGUCUGAAAAGCCUGAUCCAUCUUCUAGGGAUCUCUUACGAUAAAAAAUGCUGGGAAAUGUGAAUAAGGAUGAGAUUUGCAAAGCAGAACUUUCGGAGAUGGAAAAUCUCCUGGCUGUGUGUAUAAGUUUCGAUAAUAAUGAUAAAAAGGGAGGAAGAAUAAGGAUGAUGAAGACCGUCUUGAGGGCUUACAGUUGCCUCAAAAUCUUGAGACCUUAAACAUUUUUGACCAUAGAGGUAACAGGAUUUCUCGCCUGAGAAUAAUGUUGUUAUCUAAGUUGCAGUCUAUGGCAUUAGAUUGGUGCAUGAACUUAGUGCAAUUGCCUCCUUUGGGAGAAUUGGCAGCCCUUGAGUCACUGAUUACACUAAGGAUGAAGAACUUGUAAAAGGUGGGGAAUGAAUUUUUGGGAACAGAUCAAAGCCGUGGGAAACCAUUUGUUGCUUUUUCUAAAUUGAAUUGACUUGUUUUUCAGAAAAUGAAAGUAUGGAAAGAGUGGAAAUAUAAAAUGAGGAAGAGGGCAUCAUUAUGUAAUCAUGCCAAGUCUUCAUUCAUUAACAAUUGGAUUCUGCCCCAAAUUAGAGACACUUCCGGAUGACCACUGUCCUUGAACACUAUAUUCGAAGAUCAUUUCAUGUCCUGUGCUGGAAAAUUGUUAUAAAAAGGGAACUGCAGAGAGGCAAAAGAACUCUCAUAUCAAGAUUUCUUAUGCAGUUGAACUGCAACAGACACAGAGGUAACUCUUCUCCUUGUUUUUACAUAGUUUGAUUUUUAGAAUUCGUUUUUGGUUUUUCAUGAUCCUGUAAUCUUUUGUCGUAAAUAAAAUAGAUAUGCAACCACCUGCAUUUGUAAAAGAGAUGUUAAUUUAAUGUAUUGUUCUAUUCACUUAGAAAUUGUGGAUGACAUCACUGGAUAAUUUGAUCUUAUUGGUUUUUUUUUCCAGGAGAAUGGUGUGAGAAGUAUUCUGGAGAGGAAUCAAAUGUUAUAUCUCGUGCCCCAUUUCAGAUAUCAAAUAUUUGGUAAGUUAAUCUCUUCAACUCACACAUAUCACAUUCCUGGUCUUGGUUUUCAGAAUGUAGAACUGGCUACUAGGCACAGCAACUAAUCAAUAGAAUUGUAAAAUUAUAUCUCAGUGCAGAGCAAUUACUUCAAAGUCUCCAAAGAUGAUGUGGGCUGAGACAGAACCUUCCCCUUUGAAACAGAAAGAAAACGUUAUCUUAAAACUUUUUCUUAUAGUUAUGUUACAGUUUGAAUUCCUUUACUACUUCAUAAUCAUUAUUCUUCAAUCUUGAGGUGUUUCUCAGAGUGUAAUACAACUUUCAAAAAAUGGAGAUUGCAUUGAAGUCAGAAAGGGUGCGAAAGGCCCUCGAGGGAAGAAAGUUGAUAGGACGCUUUGGAUGGGCUAUUGUUAAACCUCGAAUAGUAUGAUAUUGUCUGCUUUAAACAAAAGUCAGGUUAUUUUUUUUCUUCUUUAGUUCUCGUCAAGAGGCAUCAUACUAUUUAAGAAAUGAAUUUGUAUAUGUAGUCUAGCAUUGCUUUUAAAGCAGGCAAUGCAGGACAUUGACUUCCAAUCCUUAUCAUCCUUGAUAUUUCCAAAUCUUGAAUCACAUAUUGAAGCUCUGCAAGGAAAAGGAAAUGGAUCAUUCCAAGUUACCAGUUGCAGGAUUAUGGCAGAUCCGAUUACAAGACAUCAGGGAAUAGCGGCUGGAUUGCCUGAUUCUAAAUGAUAUUCAUGAAUCAUGACCCUUUGUUCUGUCACUUGGUUUCAGGAACUAGCCACUGGAAAUAUUUUCGUUGCUCUUUUUAUGUCUGUCUUUCACAGCGAAGGUAGAAGGUUGAAGCACAAGAGGGUGAUUGAUAUGCUGUUAACUUUUAUCUUAGUACAAUAUACCAAAACAAUUUAUUUUAAUGUAGCAACUGGUAAGUCCUUUUAUUUUCAUGUUAUUCAGCAAUCGAUGCUUUUUGUUCCUCUGUGGCCUCUUUUGUAUUCGAUACAAUAUACAUAAGUUCGACGAAGGGUUCCACUAAACUUCAUUUUUCUGUGAUGCUCACAUAAUUUUGGAUAUGGGAGCAGGAGUUGAAGCCACCAAUUCAGACUGAAACGUUGAGCCAAAUUUUACCAAAAUUUCACUUUGUUUGAUGCAUUUGCAUAUUAGGCACUUUAGGUCCGUGGCCUUUUGCUAGCUUGUCCUAGAUGGUGCAAGGAAACAGAGUCACAAAAUCAAUCGACAAAAGAAUGUUAUAAACCAUAAAAAUACUUCAAAUUUAAUUAGUUUAAAUGAUUGCUCAUGGUUUAAUUCAUCCAUACAUAUAAGGUUGUGUUUGGCACCCAGCAUUACUCCUCAUUAUAGCCUUGUAUUGUAUUAAAUUAAUACAAUACUAUGUUUGGCAAAAAAUGAACUUUGUAUUAGACCACAUUGUAACACACCAAACGCCGCACAAAUUAAACCCGUGAGGGGGGGUCGUAAUUAGGCCGCAUUGCAUUAGAAUAGAAAGCAAAUUCUUUCUUCUUCACGAUCUCAGCCACAACCACAAACCAAAUCUUCUCUUCGUAAAACCCAAAGUAAAUUUUUUCUCUCAAACUCACUCGCCUUUCACUCACAUAUUUUCCUCCCUUCUCCUUCAAUUUCUCAAGAGCCAAACAUAGCAAAUGGAAUUACUAAGUGAGCGGUGUAGUCGAAGCGUCUGAAUCUUUUAUUGGAGCCAAUGCGUCAUUUGAAGUUCAAACAACAGCGUAGAGUGGCAGUGGUGCUACGGCGAGAUUCGAACAGACUCUCGUGUAGAUUUCAUUUUUCCAUUUAGGUUUCGAGUUUAAAUGUUUCAAUUGAUGACUCUAUAAAGCCCAAAAAAAUUAUAAUAGUAAUAAUAAUAAUAAUAAUAAUCAUCAUCAUCUAGACUUUUAGUACUCAUAUUGUCCAUGAUAUUAAAAGAAAAACAGAAAAAUACACUGUUACAUAAUAAAUAUGACACUUUCACAUAUAAAGUGAUUGUCUGAUAACUCUGCUAAUUAGAACUAAUUAAUUAAAUAUUAAAAUGUAUUUUUUACCCUUAAAUGACGUGUUUUCUCUAUCAUUCUUUGAAUACCAGAGACAAAAUGAGGUAUUAAAAAACUAUAAAGGAUUAAAAUGGUAAAAACAAAUUGUGGGAGGGACUCAAGUGUCAGUCUCCCUUAUUUUUCAAUACAAAUUUGUACUCGAAACUUUAACCCUUAAAUUAUCAUAAUUCUCACAAUAGAUAAGUUAGUUUCCUUAUAGAUUCCGUUAUUAAAACCAAAAGUUAAUUACCAGGAAGUCUCAUCACACGUAACUAAGUAUUUAUUAUCUCUAUCAUAUUUUCUAAUUCCCCACAUUAUUUAAUAUUUUCUAUCUGACAAAAUGGUUGUACAAAUACAUAAUUACAUAAAACUCUCAUUGUAAAAGAAAAUUAUUCGGGAGAGUGCCAAACUAGGGAGGCUGCCACUUUUUUUUCUCAAUCGAGUUUUCGUGUUUAUCACUCACUUAAUAUUUUUAUGGUUUUUAUAUAUAAUACGCAAUUACUUUCUUUAACAGAAAAAUUUAUCUGAGUGAAAAAAAAAAGUUCUUUUCUUUAGAAAUUGGAGUAACAUGAUAUAUUAAAAAAAUUAUAAGAGUAAAUAAUUGGUGAAAUUCGAAAACAAUAGGAGAGGAACGAGCAAAUAACCCGUCAAAGUAGGAAGGUCAUCACAUUAGCGUUGUCUGUCCACUACCGUCUUCAAAUCAUUAAGACUUUAUUGACGUCAUAAGGUAUAAUGAUAAUUUCACCUACGCUUCAAAAGCGUAAUUUGGACAAUAUUCCGUUAGUUUUCUUAACGGUUUGAAGACGAUAGUGGAUAAGUGUAAAAAAAUAUAAAUUUAAGUGGAACACAGUAAAAAAAAUUAAAAAUUAUAUAUUUUUAAAAAAGUGCGAAAAAAAAGGUAGACGGUAAAUAAUUACCGUUAAUCCAUUCAUCGAACACCUUGUUUAUCUAACAAUAAGGUUAGGUGGCAAAGUAUCAUUUUUCACCUCAUGGGUCAUGAAAUUGGAAAUCGGCAUGUCUUUACCACGAUUAAGAUUUCUUUUUUUUUUUAAUCUAGUUAUCACAUCAUGCGUUUAAAUUUUAUUUGGAGUUGUUAUAAUAUAAUCGAUAGAAAUCUUUAACGUGAGAAAGCAGCAGCAUUACCUUGACGUGCGGUUACUGCUGGCAGUGUGAUUGUUAAUAAUGAAGUAUUUAAUGAGAGAAGGUGGCGUGGAUUUUUUAUGGUGUGGAAUUUUCUAGACUUUAUUUGCACUCUUAGAUCAUGCUUAGAUGAAUUGUGGGGUUGCAUUAAAUUUUGAGAUUAAUAAAAUAAUUUAAUUUAAGGUAUGUUUGGUUGUCAUGAAUUAAUAGGAUAAAUAAAAAUUAAUUCAUAACAAUUGGGAUUAUUAGUCUUUAUAUUUAUAUAGGUUUAGGUGAGCUAAAAUUAAAUGAAGAAUUUGUGUCCUCUUUAUCACUAUUUUAUUUUUCAUUUAACCUAAUAUUUUAAUAAAAAUUAAAUAUAGAAGUUAAUUUCAUAAUUUUUUAACCUAUAAUUUUGUUUUAUAUAGAAUAUCAAAAUUUUAUUCAUUAAUUUAAUUAAACUAAUAUUGAAUUUUAAACAUAAAAUAAUAAACUAUUUCUUUGUAGUAGCAUUGAAUAUUAAAUAUUAAAGUCAACAAUUAUCAAUAUAAUUUAAAAAUAUUAUAUUAUUUAAAUUUAUUAAAUUAAAUUAAUAUAGUCCUUUUCAAUAUUGUAACAAAUAAAAUGUGAUAUUAUUUAUAAUUCAAUCUAAUCCAAUUUAAUUUUAAAAGUUAAUUCAAUCAAAUCAUAUCUUCCAAAUGUAACCUUAAGUUAUUAAGGUCUGGGUUUAGUGGUGCAAUAGGGGGACACCUGUUCAAGACUCAAUCGAUGCUCUCCUACACAAAUUAAUAGAAGGUGUAUGUAUCUCUCUAAAUAUUUUUGGAAGUAUAUAUAACUCCUCGGUAGAUCUCAAAUUACACUAUAUAAGCGUAUAAACUUAAGCUAAUAAUAGAUAAUAGGUUGUAAGAUGUAACAAUUUUUUUUUUAAUAAAAAAAGCCUUCCUGUUACUUUGACUGUCCGUGCACUGUUGCACGGGUCGAUAUAAUUGGUCUAUCAUUUUUAUUUGUGUUUAUAAAAAGUUGCAUGAAUAUGAGGCUUUUCAAUAUCAACUCUUAAAAUUAAAAACUCUGAUCGGUCUGGUACUUAUCUUGGCGGCUUUGGGAAUAAUUGGGACGUCUUCGGGCAGCUUUUUUUUUGAGGUGAUAUGCCAUGUUGCUAGUUAUUGAAAAUGCCAUUGCUAGAGGUUGGAAUUAUUCAUGGCAUGAGGUUAUGCUUCAAUUCUUGUUGUUACUUAUUUUGUAAUCUCGAGAAUUGGAUUUAAUUAACUACUGCAUCGUGUGGUGAAUUUCAUGCACUUCAAGAUCAUUCCUGCUUUUCGAGGAGAGACCAAUGUUGUUGCUAAUCGAUUAGCUAAUCUCAAGUGUCAAUUGCAGCUCGCUAACUUGGUCGGUUAGAUAUUUCAUCAUCAGAUAUUAUUAGUCUUCUUUAAGAAAGAUGCUAAUGGAUUUUACUAUUAAUUAAUUUUUUUUAAUUUAUUAACUUGCCUAUUAGAAUGGGUUUUUGUUGCUCUCAUUUGGGUGGUGGAGUGGAUUUUAAAUAGUUUUUUUUUUUAUAUACUGAAAUUUUAGGGGAGGUAAGACGCAAAAAAAAAAUGAAUUUGCACUUUACCCAUCCGCUUAUGUUAAAAAGAAAAAGAAAGAAAGAAUAGACUUUUUGUUUCGUGGAUGCAAUUUAACUGAAAUGGUAAAAUCUCUCCUAUUACAAAUAAGUGAUUUGGGGUUGGAACCUCCCACACGAAUGGGGAAGAAAUCUUUUUGACAUUAGACUAAACAAUAACUAUUAAAAAAAAGUUUUUUGAUUUAUUUAAGUUGUGUCUUUUGAAAUAAUUGUUGUUGGUUGGUUGUAUAAAUAAUUAGAUAUGAAGAGAAAAUGUUUAAUAUUUAAUAAAAUUUAUUAUUAAAAGUGCCUGAAUUUUAAAAGCAGUUAUACAUAUUUGGUAAAUCUUACUGUAAAAUUGUUGUAAGAAUAUAAAUAACUGAAUUAAACAUAAUAUUGAAGCAAUCUUAUUUAGAUAUUUAUAAAUAUGUAUAUAAAAUAUUUUUUUAUUGUGUAUAUAUAAGGAUUAAUAACUAAAAUAAAUAUUUUAUUUUUUAAUUUUGUUAUCUUAAUAUAAUGAGUAGUAAUAAUAAUAAUUUCUUUAAAGUUAAUAAUUUUAUUUCUUAAAUAAUAAGGAUAAGUUUAAAUGUUUAUAAUAUAUAUGAUGAUAUAAAUGAAAUUAUAUCGAGUAUAAAAUUUAUUCACAAAAUCAAAUUUUAAAAAAUUACUGAUUUCAUAAGUUUUUAAAAUCUACUGUAAAAUAAAAUAAUUUUAAAAAAUUCAUUGAACAUUAAAAAUAAUUUUUAAUUUUUUAAAAUUACUUUAAGUAUUUAAAAUAGUCCAAUGGGGGCCUGCCCCACUAUUAAAGCUUCCGUCAACUAUGAUCCAUCUGAAUUAGAAAAAUAUAUCAGAUAAGAUAUUUUAAUAUUUUUUUAAUAGAAUGAUUACUCCAUUAUUAUCCACGUCUUUGUACUUGUCAUUUGCUGCUCCCACAGCCGCCUCAAGGCAGCUGCCAUAAAUUGACCGCCAUCUUUCUUUUUUCUGGUCAACAAGUCAAAAUCUUAUAUUAAUGCAUUAAAGACUUACAAACAUUGUCCAUUAUAAUUGAUUAAGCAGCUCUAUUAUAGUUUAGUUUUUUACGUGAUUAUACCUGUUUUCCUAUUUAUUACUAACAAUUAUUAUUAUAAUAAUUUUUUAAACAAAUUUUUAUUUGACAUCUAACAAUACAAAAAAGCCUAAAUUAAAAUUUUCUCUGAAGGCCAUAAAAGCUCUUGAGCUGGCCCUGACUUCGAUUCAUCCCAUUCCAUCUUUAGCUUAUUUUAUUAUGAUCUAAAAUGAAUGCAAAUAUAUGGGAAACAGAUCAACAAUUAUUGGAUAGGCAUGUCCGUGAAUUAACGGUACAUUUAUUUCCUGAAAUGGGAAUGAGAAUGUACUGGAAUGUUAUUGAUGUGUUUAUGUGAGAGAGAGUAGUUAAGAUGUUAGUGGAGAUUGUGGUGGUGAAUUGUUGAAUUUAGAAGAUGGAAUAAGAAUUAUAAAUCAAUAUAGAUUGUGGUGACUUUUUUUACAAAGAUAAAUAAAUAAAUAAAGGAUGCAAAGAACCCAGAGAAUAAAGAAAAAAAACAAAGGAAGAAGAACAGAAGAGAGAAGGACGAAAAAGAAUUGCAGAAGGAGAUUGAGUUUGGAGAUGGUAAAAGAGGGAGAUAAGAGAUAAGGAUGAUGUGUGACCUGUCAGAUUUGUGUUUAUUGUUUUAUAAUUUAUUUUACCAUUUAUUUUAUAAAACAAGCAAAAUAUGUACAAGUUGUUUUGUAAUUCAUCACUCAAUCUAUUUGAAAAGUUUUAGAAUUUAUUAGUUUAAUAUAUAUUUAAUGAAAAAUUAUGAUAUUUUUUAUAUUUAUAUUAAAAAUGAUGUAAAAAAUUUUAAAAUUUAAUACUUCUAUAAUUAAUUUUUUUUAAGUACUAAGAAAUAUUGUUUUGAAAUAUAUAAUGUAAAUUAAUCACCAAAAAAAUUAAUAUAUAAUGAAAUAUAUAACUCCAAACAUGAUAUAAUUAAAAAUUAAUACAGUACAAUGUAAUACCAAAUGUUGUAUAAUAUUAUUAUAAUUCAAUACUAAUACAAUACAAAAUAAUACAAUAUAACUGUAUUAAAAUAAUACAAUACAACAUAAUAUAAUAGAGUGUGUCAAACGCACCCUUAAAACAUUUCUGCAACAGAAUAAUAUUACAGCAUCGAAUGGAUUCUCUCCUGCUCAGUUCUCACAUGCUUCCUGGUAAUAUGUUUCACACUAGGACAGCCAGUAAGGGCCAUGGUCAACUCAAACUCAUCCUUCAGCAUUUCGAUGACGCGUCUCACCCCAUAUUCCCCUUUUGCAGCAAGGCCGUAGACUACAGGCCUUCCAAUCUGGAGUAACAUAUGACAUACAUUUGUUUAGUAAUCAAAUAAGGACCCGAACAAAAGUAGUACUGCAGUUGAAAUAAAUUUCUAUGUUACCUUUGUGUCCCUGGAAUCAACUGUUAACAAAAGAGAAAAGAAAGGUGGCUCCAGAGUCUCACCACUGAAAUUAAAAAAACUUAAGGGUGAAGUUGUGAAAAGCUUACAAGUACAGCUUGUGCACCGAGGGCCAAUGCCUUGAAAACAUCUGUUCCUCGCCGCACUCCUCCAUCCAUAAGAAUUGGAACUCUUCCUUUAACGGCAUGAACCACCUGCAAGCUCAGGGUUCACAAGUAUAAAAAUGUAUUGGUUACGAUUUCCUUGGUAAAAUCUAUUGUGUAACCCAAAGUUGUCAGGGGACACAUAUCUUAUUCCAAAAUGCUGGUCAUUUCUACAUCGAGCUAGUUAGAUCGAAAAAUGUAUUGUUACAAGAUCUCCAUCAUUAAUACAUGAAACGGCAAGUUCCAUUGUCUACACGUCAGAAAACUAGCAAAAACUACAUGCAUUAGCAUUGUUAUGAGCACCCUAUAGAUUUGCGUCUCCUGUUUCCCGAUUCAUAUGCCUUAAAUUAAAACUCAGAAUAUUAAUUAGGAGAAUUAUGUAAUCCUUAAUAAUAUGAUAUUUCUCAACCUUUCAAGUUAAAUUCAAUGGCAGCAGCAAUGUUGUCAGUUUGGAUUCCCUUUUACAGUCUUAAAAAAAUUUUAGAAUGCAUUCUACUAAUCAACAUUAAUCAAAAUAAACUGACACAUAUUUGUAAUCAAUUCAAUUCUCACAAUUAUUUACGUACUUGUAAAAGUGAAGUAAGUUUAGAUCUAUAUACAAAUCUAGAUCAUAUUGUCUGCAGUUUAGAAAGCUAAAAGUGGUGUGAAAUUUAUAGUCACCUCUUCCAGAGCAGAAAUAGUGGCAGGACUAUAAUCUAACUGUCGAGCUCCGUGAUUGGAGACAAUAAUCCCAGCAACACCUACUUCCACAGCUUUUAUUGCUGAAAAUUUUUAGAAACCAAGCAAUUAACAAAUCUUCAAUUAGGAACUCACAAAAUAAAUGAAAAUAUUUCUGAUGAAAUUCAUAAAGAGAUAGAUAGUGACGUGAGGAGAGGAUAUUUAACAAGAAUAUUUUCAUUUGGAUGAUUGGCAUCUCCAAUUGUACAAACUUUAAUUCUAAGUCUUUAAUCCCACUACCAAAUCACUGCAUAAAUAAACCUCUGGCUUAGAGACUCACAAUGUAUAAAAUGGAAAAGAAUCCUCUUUUAGUCUAAGGCUACAUGGAAAACAAAACAAAGCGAUACUCAUAUCAUCAGAUGGAGCUUUGAUCUUACCAUCUUCACGAGUAAGUAUCCCCUUGAUCAAAAUUGGUAAGUUUGUAAUAGAUCUUAGCCAUUCUAAAUCCUGCAGAAGCAUAUGAUAUUCUUCAGACUCAAAACUUUACAGAGAGUAUUGAGAUCAAUAGCCAACUCAAAACUUCGCAGAAGCAUUUGUUCUAAGUAGCUGAAUAAUAUACACUUAUUUUUUCUUGAUAUAUUUUCCGAGCAAGGGAAGAAACAGCCAGGACAGAUUUUUUCUUGAUAUACAAAAGGUGAAAGACUUCACUGAUCUCUACCUUCCAACUUAAAGAAGCAUCCAUGGUCUCGUUGGCAUCAGCUUCAAAAUUCGAACCUGUAUCCUGUAAAAAGUGUAAUCCAUUAAGUUAAAGUAAAGGAUUAUAGAUAUAGUCUAUGAGUUUAAACAAGCAGUAAAAGUAAAUGCCGGCUGAGAACCAGAAAUAUCAAAAAAUAAAUAAGUGAAACUGUAACACUCACAGAGCUGACUUUGGUUGAUAAGAGGCCUUCCAAAUUCUUCAACGGCGGUGUAAUCAUUCUGCAGAUGUUGUUGAGUGAGAUUCAAAAGACAAUGUUUACUGUACCCAAAUAAAAGGUAAAGGGCACUAUAUAUUUCUUUUGAUGUCACAAUACAAACAUUUGUGUCAUAUCACUAUCCUAAAAGGUUUUUUUAACCAAAGUUUCAAUUCAAUUAUAUGUGGUAGUACUUGGAAUAUAUAGAACCAAAGAUAAAAAAGAUGAUAAUUCACUUGUUCUUUAUAUCUGCCUCCCUUCUACCAAGUCUUGGAGUAUCAGCAGUUAGGACAAGAGCCUUAAAACCAUUCCUUUCAGCUCUCUGCACUAGAGUAGCUGUUAUAUCUCGUUUCUUGAAUACCUAUUCACAAAAAGGACGCCAUAGUGUGGUUCAAACCCUUUAAGUAACAUUAUAAGAAAGAAGAAAAUAGUUGUUGCUCAAAAAAAUGAGCAGUUUCCUAAUAAGAAUAGGAGGGGAAAAUAAAAAAUAAAAAAGGAAAAAGAAAAAAGAAAGAGCCCAAGACAAGCCAACUACAUAUAAUUGAUAGAAGCGAACAGCAUUGGAGCUGGCCGCAACCUCCUCUAUGGAGCUGCUAGAUGUGAAGGAUAAAACCAUUAUGGUGUUACAUGAAGCUGCUGCUCUGGCUGUGGCUACCUCUCCUGGAAUAUAUACAAACACUUAAUGUUAGAAUUUGAACAAAAUCUUCAUGAUGUACAUCUUGAAGAAGGAAUAAGACCUUCAGGGUUUGCAAGCUUAUGCAAAGCCGUUGGAGCAAUGAUAAUGGGAGCCGAGAUUUUGUAAUCAAGUAUGGUAGUCGAUAAAUCAAUUCUGCUGACAUCGACAAGAAUUCUUGGCCGAAACCUGAGAGAUAUAAUAAAAAUCCAUUUGAAAGUUCUGAAUCUAGUUCUAAGAUUACUCAUUGAAACUCAUUUGUCUUACGUAAUUCUAUGAAAGGCUUCCACAUUCUCUUUUAGGGUAUGUUCAUCUUCUGCUCCACCAGCGUAGAAAUCAUAAUACAUUUUUGGAAGGGCCAGCCUUGCCAAUUCUUGGAACUCAUUCAAAUUAACAGGUUCAGCUGCCAUUUGGAACCUGCAAACGUGGACAUUAAUCAACUUUUCAAGUNNNNNNNNNNNNNNNNNNNNNNNNNNNNNNNNNNNNNNNNNNNNNNNNNNNNNNNNNNNNNNNNNNNNNNNNNNNNNNNNNNNNNNNNNNNNNNNNNNNNNNNNNNNNNNNNNNNNNNNNNNNNNNNNNNNNNNNNNNNNNNNNNNNNNNNNNNNNNNNNNNNNNNNNNNNNNNNNNNNNNNNNNNNNNNNNNNNNNNNNNNNNNNNNNNNNNNNNNNNNNNNNNNNNNNNNNNNNNNNNNNNNNNNNNNNNNNNNNNNNNNNNNNNNNNNNNNNNNNNNNNNNNNNNNNNNNNNNNNNNNNNNNNNNNNNNNNNNNNNNNNNNNNNNNNNNNNNNNNNNNNNNNNNNNNNNNNNNNNNNNNNNNNNNNNNNNNNNNNNNNNNNNNNNNNNNNNNNNNNNNNNNNNNNNNNNNNNNNNCCUCUCCGAAUGAAAAAAAUUUCAAGAGUACUCGUCCCGUGGAGAUUUUUGCCAUCCCUAAUACUAGUUGGCCACAAGAAGGAACGUUUGGACAUAAAAGUGGCGAUGUCCAGCUCAUUUGGCUUUGGUGGACACAAUUCAUCCAUCUUAUUCGCCUCCUUUAAAGGAAAUUGAUUAAUGAUUAUGGCUAAAAAAACCCUGACCACACGCGUGUACUUGGUGUUAGUCAAUUUACAGCAAUUAAUUAACAUCCAAAUCCAAGUGCGUGCAUCGUGGAACUCUGCCAAGACGUAAUUUUGUAUUGGCAUGACAUUUGGGUAUUGUUCUAAGACCACUUCGUUUGAUAUGUAUUGAUUAUUAUGAUGCCGCAGUUUAAAAAAGACACGUAUGUUGAUCGAUCCUUGUGAAAUGAGAAUAAAAGUUGAGAUUUUGAUAAAAUUUAGGACACUUUUCAAACCAAAUGAUACUUGUCUAUUAUCGUUUUAGUUUCAUCAUCCAACUGAAGUGAACCAUAUAUUUGAUUAUACGAACGAGGUAAUCCAUAGGUAAUAAUAGUUAGAGGUGGCAUAGCCGUGAUGGUGAAUUUUUUUGUUAUAAAAAAUUUGGGAUGAAGUUUAGUAUACCAAAAACUAAUUUUUGACUUGAACUAUUAGCAUUUUUUUUAAUCUCAUUAAAUUCUUAUUUUAUUAUAAUUACAUAUAAGGAUAAAUAUAAAUAAAAUUGAUACUACUUAUAUUUUUCAGUUUCUCACUUAAAUUUAUUUAUAUUUACAAUAUAUUAUAUUUUUUUUCUCUCUUCUCAAUCUAUAUAAUUGAUUCUUGCACAAACUUAAAAUAUUGAUCUUUUUUAUAUUAAUCAUUUUUAUGUUUGGGAAGUUAUUUUUUUAUUGAGAAAGAAAGUUUGAAUAGAAUAAUAGAGAUAUCAAGAUUUAAAUAAAAUAAUACUGUAAAAAACAAAUUAACUGUGAGAAAGUUACAGAAAAUAAAAGUUUUACAAAUGAAAAGAGUCUUUUUAGGGGAAAAAAAAGGAAAAAGUAUUUUUGACAUUACGUGGAAGAUUUUGUAGAGGUGGCCGCAGAUCAACUCUUAAUUCUCUCUCGAAAUGAAUUUCUCUUGAACAACAUUUAAGUGAGAAAUUGGAUUAAUUAAGAAUAUACAAAUUAUAAAUGAGUUAAUCUCAAUAUUAUCACUAUUUAAACACGUGCCUCUUUCCCAAAAACUAUGAGAAGAGACAGAUUGAUUGGUCAAGUUAUGGAUGGCUCAGGGUUAUCUUAAGCUGGAGGGAAGGGAAAAUAUGGAGUUAAGAGGAGAAAAGUACUUUAGAAUCUUAGCCUCAUGCUCUUUAUUCCCAGAUUUUCAAAGAAAUGAGUUUGAUGGUAAAAUAAUAAGGUGCCAGAUGCACUCCAUAGUGCAUGAUUUUGCUCAGUCUUACAGAAAGUGAUAGUUUGAAUGCAGAGGUCAAGGAUUCUGGUUACAAGUGUCAAUUGGAGUCUUCUCAUGAAAAAAUUCAGAAUUUAAUGAUAAUGUUUGAAAGUGAUGACCUCUUUCCUAUUUCAGUUUACACUCAAAAAAAACCGCGGAGCCUUGUGGUUGAGCGUGAAGGGUAUUUCAAAGGGCAUAGUUCUGUCUGAGGUGUUUGAUCAGUUGGCGUGUCUGAGGACACUGGAUUUGAGUAAUCAUGAUAGUGUUUGGUGUAAAGUGAUUGAAGUGGUUCCCAGAGGAAUAAAAGGAUUAAUACAUUUAAGGUACCUUAACUAGUCUAACAACAAAAAGAUAAAAGCUUGCCUGAGAUGUUGUGCAAGUUGUAUAAUUUACAAACCUUGGAGCUCAGUUGGCGUAGCAGUCUCAGAAAUUUGCCUCAAGGGAUGGGAAGUUGAUCAACCUGAGGCAUGGAGAAAAUGUUGGGACUCCACUUAGCUACAUGCCAACGGGAAUUGAAAGAUGCAGUUAGUUUUUGGACACUAAGUGAAUUCAUUGUCGGUGGUGGAACUGAUGAAAAGGGCUAGUAAACUUGAAUGUCUGAAAAGCCUGAUCCAUCUUCUAGGGAUCUCUUACGAUAAAAAAUGCUGGGAAAUGUGAAUAAGGAUGAGAUUUGCAAAGCAGAACUUUCGGAGAUGGAAAAUCUCCUGGCUGUGUGUAUAAGUUUCGAUAAUAAUGAUAAAAAGGGAGGAAGAAUAAGGAUGAUGAAGACCGUCUUGAGGGCUUACAGUUGCCUCAAAAUCUUGAGACCUUAAACAUUUUUGACCAUAGAGGUAACAGGAUUUCUCGCCUGAGAAUAAUGUUGUUAUCUAAGUUGCAGUCUAUGGCAUUAGAUUGGUGCAUGAACUUAGUGCAAUUGCCUCCUUUGGGAGAAUUGGCAGCCCUUGAGUCACUGAUUACACUAAGGAUGAAGAACUUGUAAAAGGUGGGGAAUGAAUUUUUGGGAACAGAUCAAAGCCGUGGGAAACCAUUUGUUGCUUUUUCUAAAUUGAAUUGACUUGUUUUUCAGAAAAUGAAAGUAUGGAAAGAGUGGAAAUAUAAAAUGAGGAAGAGGGCAUCAUUAUGUAAUCAUGCCAAGUCUUCAUUCAUUAACAAUUGGAUUCUGCCCCAAAUUAGAGACACUUCCGGAUGACCACUGUCCUUGAACACUAUAUUCGAAGAUCAUUUCAUGUCCUGUGCUGGAAAAUUGUUAUAAAAAGGGAACUGCAGAGAGGCAAAAGAACUCUCAUAUCAAGAUUUCUUAUGCAGUUGAACUGCAACAGACACAGAGGUAACUCUUCUCCUUGUUUUUACAUAGUUUGAUUUUUAGAAUUCGUUUUGGUUUUUCAUGAUCCUGUAAUCUUUUGUCGUAAAUAAAAUAGAUAUGCAACCACCUGCAUUUGUAAAAGAGAUGUUAAUUUAAUGUAUUGUUCUAUUCACUUAGAAAUUGUGGAUGACAUCACUGGAUAAUUUGAUCUUAUUGGUUUUUUUUCCAGGAGAAUGGUGUGAGAAGUAUUCUGGAGAGGAAUCAAAUGUUAUAUCUCGUGCCCCAUUUCAGAUAUCAAAUAUUUGGUAAGUUAAUCUCUUCAACUCACACAUAUCACAUUCCUGGUCUUGGUUUUCAGAAUGUAGAACUGGCUACUAGGCACAGCAACUAAUCAAUAGAAUUGUAAAAUUAUAUCUCAGUGCAGAGCAAUUACUUCAAAGUCUCCAAAGAUGAUGUGGGCUGAGACAGAACCUUCCCCUUUGAAACAGAAAGAAAACGUUAUCUUAAAACUUUUUCUUAUAGUUAUGUUACAGUUUGAAUUCCUUUACUACUUCAUAAUCAUUAUUCUUCAAUCUUGAGGUGUUUCUCAGAGUGUAAUACAACUUUCAAAAAAUGGAGAUUGCAUUGAAGUCAGAAAGGGUGCGAAAGGCCCUCGAGGGAAGAAAGUUGAUAGGACGCUUUGGAUGGGCUAUUGUUAAACCUCGAAUAGUAUGAUAUUGUCUGCUUUAAACAAAAGUCAGGUUAUUUUUUUUCUUCUUUAGUUCUCGUCAAGAGGCAUCAUACUAUUUAAGAAAUGAAUUUGUAUAUGUAGUCUAGCAUUGCUUUUAAAGCAGGCAAUGCAGGACAUUGACUUCCAAUCCUUAUCAUCCUUGAUAUUUCCAAAUCUUGAAUCACAUAUUGAAGCUCUGCAAGGAAAAGGAAAUGGAUCAUUCCAAGUUACCAGUUGCAGGAUUAUGGCAGAUCCGAUUACAAAGACAUCAGGGAAUAGCGGCUGGAUUGCCUGAUUCUAAAUGAUAUUCAUGAAUCAUGACCCUUUGUUCUGUCACUUGGUUUCAGGAACUAGCCACUGGAAAUAUUUUCGUUGCUCUUUUUAUGUCUGUCUUUCACAGCGAAGGUAGAAGGUUGAAGCACAAGAGGGUGAUUGAUAUGCUGUUAACUUUAUCUUAGUACAAUAUACCAAAACAAUUUAUUUUAAUGUAGCAACUGGUAAGUCCUUUUAUUUUCAUGUUAUUCAGCAAUCGAUGCUUUUUGUUCCUCUGUGGCCUCUUUUGUAUUCGAUACAAUAUACAUAAGUUCGACGAAGGGUUCCACUAAACUUCAUUUUUCUGUGAUGCUCACAUAAUUUUGAUAUGGGAGCAGGAGUUGAAGCCACCAAUUCAGACUGAAACGUUGAGCCAAAUUUUACCAAAAUUUCACUUUGUUUGAUGCAUUUGCAUAUUAGGCACUUUAGGUCCGUGGCCUUUUGCUAGCUUGUCCUAGAUGGUGCAAGGAAACAGAGUCACAAAAUCAAUCGACAAAAGAAUGUUAUAAACCAUAAAAACUUCAAAUUUAAUUAGUUUAAAUGAUUGCUCAUGGUUUAAUUCAUCCAUACAUAUAAGGUUGUGUUUGGCACCCAGCAUUACUCCUCAUUAUAGCCUUGUAUUGUAUUAAAUUAAUACAAUACUAUGUUUGGCAAAAAAUGAACUUUGUAUUAGACCACAUUGUAACACACCAAACGCCGCACAAAUUAAACCCGUGAGGGGGGGUCGUAAUUAGGCCGCAUUGCAUUAGAAUAGAAAGCAAAUUCUUUUUCUUCACGAUCUCAGCCACAACCACAAACCAAAUCUUCUCUUCGUAAAACCCAAAGUAAAUUUUUUCUCUCAAACUCACUCGCCUUUCACUCACAUAUUUUCCUCCCUUCUCCUUCAAUUUCUCAAGAGCCAAACAUAGCAAAUGGAAUUACUAAGUGAGCGGUGUAGUCGAAGCGUCUGAAUCUUUUAUUGGAGCCAAUGCGUCAUUUGAAGUUCAAACAACAGCGUAGAGUGGCAGUGGUGCUACGGCGAGAUUCGAACAGACUCUCGUGUAGAUUUCAUUUUUCCAUUUAGGUUUCGAGUUUAAAUGUUUCAAUUGAUGACUCUAUAAAGCCCAAAAAAAAUAAUAGUAAUAAUAAUAAUAAUAAUAAUCAUCAUCAUCUAGACUUUUAGUACUCAUAUUGUCCAUGAUAUUAAAAGAAAACAGAAAAAUACACUGUUACAUAAUAAAUAUGACACUUUCACAUAUAAAGUGAUUGUCUAUAACUCUGCUAAUUAGAACUAAUUAAUUAAAUAUUAAAAUGUAUUUUUUACCCUUAAAUGACGUGUUUUCUCUAUCAUUCUUUGAAUACCAGAGACAAAAUGAGGUAUUAAAAAACUAUAAAGGAUUAAAAUGGUAAAAACAAAUUGUGGGAGGGACUCAAGUGUCAGUCUCCCUUAUUUUUCAAUACAAAUUUGUACUCGAAACUUUAACCUUAAAUUAUCAUAAUUCUCACAAUAGAUAAGUUAGUUUCCUUAUAGAUUCCGUUAUUAAAACCAAAAGUUAAUUACCAGGAAGUCUCAUCACACGUAACUAAGUAUUUAUUAUCUCUAUCAUAUUUUCUAAUUCCCCACUUAUUUUAAUAUUUUCUAUCUGACAAAAUGGUUGUAAAAUACAUAAUUACAUAAAACUCUCAUUGUAAAAGAAAAUUAUUCGGGAGAGUGCCAAACUAGGGAGGCUGCCACUUUUUUUUCUCAAUCGAGUUUUCGUGUUUAUCACUCACUUAAUAUUUUUAUGGUUUUUAUAUUAUAAUACGCAAUUACUUCUUUAACAGAAAAUUUAUCUGAGUGAAAAAAAAAGUUCUUUUCUUUAGAAAUUGGAGUAACAUGAUAUAUUAAAAAAAUUAUAAGAGUAAAUAAUUGGUGAAAUUCGAAAACAAUAGGAGAGGAACGAGCAAAUAACCCGUCAAAGUAGGAAGGUCAUCACAUUAGCGUUGUCUGUCCACUACCGUCUUCAAAUCAUUAAGACUUUAUUGACGUCAUAAGGUAUAAUGAUAAUUUACCUACGCUUCAAAAGCGUAAUUUGGACAAAUAUUCCGUUAGUUUUUCUUAACGGUUUGAAGACGAUAGUGGAUAAGUGUAAAAAAAUAUAAAUUUAAGUGGAACACAGUAAAAAAAAUUAAAAUUAUAUAUUUUUAAAAAAGUGCGAAAAAAAAGGUAGAACGGUAAUAAUACCGUUAAUCCAUUCAUCGAACACCUUGUUUAUCUAACAAUAAGGUUAGGUGGCAAAGUAUCAUUUUUCACCUCAUGGGUCAUGAAAUUGGAAAUCGGCAUGUCUUUACCACGAUUAAGAUUUCUUUUUUUUUUUAAAUCUAGUUAUCACAUCAAUGCGUUUAAAUUUUAUUUGGAGUUGUUAUAAUAUAAUCGAUAGAAAUCUUUAACGUGAGAAAGCAGCAGCAUUACCUUGACGUGCGGUUACUGCUGGCAGUGUGAUUGUUAAUAAUGAAGUAUUUAAUGAGAGAAGGUGGGUGGAUUUUUUUAUGGUGUGGAAUUUUCUAGACUUUAUUUGCACUCUUAGAUCAUGCUUAGAUGAAUUGUGGGGUUGCAUUAAAUUUUGAGAUUAAUAAAAUAAUUUAAUUUAAGGUAUGUUUGGUUGUCAUGAAUUAAUAGGAUAAAUAAAAAUUAAUUCAUAACAAUUGGGAUUAUUAGUCUUUAUAUUUAUAUAGGUUUAGGUGAGCUAAAAUUAAAUGAAGAAUUUGUGUCCUCUUUAUCACUAUUUUAUUUUUCAUUUAACCUAAUAUUUUAAUAAAAUUAAAUAUAGAAGUUAAUUUCAUAAUUUUUUAACCUAUAAUUUUGUUUAUAUAGAAUAUCAAAUUUUAUUCAUUAAUUUAAUUAAACUAAUAUUGAAUUUUAAACAUAAAAUAAUAAACUAUUUCUUUGUAGUAGCAUUGAAUAUUAAAUAUUAAAGUCAACAAUUAUCAAUAUAAUUUAAAAUAUUAUAUUAUUUAAAUUUAUUAAAUUAAUUAAUAUAGUCCUUUUCAAUAUUGUAACAAAUAAAAUGUGAUAUUAUUAUAAUUCAAUCUAAUCCAAUUUAAUUUUAAAAGUUAAUUCAAUCAAAUCAUAUCUUCCAAAUGUAACCUUAAGUUAUUAAGGUCUGGGUUUAGUGGUGCAAUAGGGGACACCUGUUCAAGACUCAAUCGAUGCUCUCCUACACAAAUUAAUAGAAGGUGUAUGUAUCUCUCUAAAUAUUUUUGGAAGUAUAUAUAACUCCUCGGUAGAUCUCAAAUUACACUAUAUAAGCGUAUAACUUAAGCUAAUAAUAGAUAAUAGGUUGUAAGAUGUAACAAUUUUUUUUUUUAAUAAAAAAAGCCUUCUGUUACUUUGACUGUCCGUGCACUGUUGCACGGGUCGAUAUAAUUGGUCUAUCAUUUUUAUUUGUGUUUAUAAAAAGUUGCAUGAAUAUGAGGCUUUUCAAUAUCAACUCUUAAAAUUAAAAACUCUGAAUCGGUCUGGUACUUAUCUUGGCGGCUUUGGGAAUAAUUGGGACGUCUUCGGGCAGCUUUUUUUUUGAGGUGAUAUGCCAUGUUGCUAGUUAUUGAAAAUGCAUUGCUAGAGUUGGAAUUAUUCAUGGCAUGAGGUUAUGCUUCAAUUCUUGUUGUUACUUAUUUUGUAAUCUCGAGAAUUGGAUUUAAUUAACUACUGCAUCGUGUGGUGAAUUUCAUGCACUUCAAGAUCAUUCCUGCUUUUCGAGGAGAGACCAAUGUUGUUGCUAAUCGAUUAGCUAAUCUCAAGUGUCAAUUGCAGCUCGCUAACUUGGUCGGUUAGAUAUUUCAUCAUCAGAUAUUAUUAGUCUUCUUUAAGAAAGAUGCUAAUGGAUUUUACUAUUAUUAAUUUUUUUAAUUUAUUAACUUGCCUAUUAGAAAUGGGUUUUUGUUGCUCUCAUUUGGGUGGUGGAGUGGAUUUUAAAUAGUUUUUUUUUUUAUAUACUGAAAAUUUUAGGGGAGGUAAGACGCAAAAAAAAAAUGAAUUUGCACUUUACCAUCCGCUUAUGUUAAAAGAAAAAGAAAGAAGAAUAGACUUUUUGUUUCGUGGAUGCAAUUUAACUGAAAUGGUAAAAUCUCCUAUUACAAAGAAGUGAUUUGGGGUUGGAACCUCCCACACGAAUGGGGAAGAAAUCUUUUGACAUUAGACUAAACAAUAACUAUUAAAAAAAAGUUUUUUGAUUUAUUUAAGUUGUGUCUUUUGAAAUAAUUGUUGUUGGUUGGUUGUAUAAUAAUUAGAUAUGAAGAGAAAAUGUUUAAUAUUUAAUAAAAUUUAUUAUUAAAAGUGCCUGAAUUUUAAAAGCAGUUAUACAUAUUUGGUAAAUCUUACUGUAAAAUUGUUGUAGAAUAUAAAUAACUGAAUUAAACAUAAUAUUGAAGCAAUCUUAUUUAGAUAUUAUAAAUAUGUAUAUAAAAUAUUUUUUUAUUGUGUAUAUAUAAGGAUUAAUAACUAAAAUAAAUAUUUUAUUUUUAAUUUUGUUAUCUUAAUAUAAUGAGUAGUAAUAUAAUAAUUUCUUUAAAGUUAAUAAUUUUAUUUCUUAAAUAAUAAGGAUAAGUUUAAAUGUUUAUAAUAUAUAUGAUGAUAUAAAUGAAAUUAUAUCGAGUAUAAAAUUUAUUCACAAAAUCAAUUUUAAAAAUUACUGAUUUCAUAAGUUUUAAAAUCUACUGUAAAAUAAAAUAAUUUUAAAAAAUUCAUUGAACAUUAAAAUAAUUUUUAAUUUUUUAAAAUUACUUUAAGUAUUUAAAAUAGUCCAAUGGGGCCUGCCCCACUAUUAAAGCUUCCGUCAACUAUGAUCCAUCUGAAUUAGAAAAUAUAUCAGAUAAGAUAUUUUAAUAUUUUUUUAAUAGAAUGAUUACUCCAUUAUUAUCCACGUCUUUGUACUUGUCAUUUGCUGCUCCCACAGCCGCCUCAAGGCAGCUGCCAUAAAUUGACCGCCAUCUUUCUUUUUUCUGGUCAACAAGUCAAAAUCUUAUAUUAAUGCAUUAAAGACUUACAAACAUUGUCCAUUAUAAUUGAUUAAGCAGCUCUAUUAUAGUUUAGUUUUUUACGUGAUUAUACCUGUUUUCCUAUUUAUUACUAACAAUUAUUAUUAUAAUAAUUUUUUAAAACAAUUUUUAUUUGACAUCUACAAUACAAAAAAGCCUAAAUUAAAAUUUUCUCUGAAGGCCAUAAAAGCUCUUGAGCUGGGCCUGACUUCGAUUCAUCCAUUCCAUCUUUAGCUUAUUUUAUUAUGAUCUAAAAUGAAUGCAAAUAUAUGGGAAACAGAUCAACAAUUAUUGGAUAGGCAUGUCCGUGAAUUAACGGUACAUUUAUUUCCUGAAAUGGGAAUGAGAAUGUACUGGAAUGUUAUUGAUGUGUUUAUGUGAGAGGAGUAGUUAAGAUGUUAGUGGAGAUUGUGGUGGUGAAUUGUUGAAUUUAGAAGAUGGAAUAAGAAUUAUAAAUCAUAUAGAUUGUGGUGACUUUUUUACAAAGAUAAAUAAAUAAAUAAAGGAUGCAAAGAACCCAGAGAAUAAAGAAAAAAAAACAAAGGAAGAAGAACAGAAGAGAGAAGGACGAAAAAGAAUUGCAGAAGGAGAUUGAGUUUGGAGAUGGUAAAAGAGGGAGAUAAGAGAUAAGGAUGAUGUGUGACCUGUCAGAUUUGUGUUUAUUGUUUUAUAAUUUUAUUUUACCAUUUAUUUUAUAAAACAAGCAAAAUAUGUACAAGUUGUUUGUAAUUCAUCACUCAAUCUAUUUGAAAAGUUUAGAAUUUAUUAGUUUAAUAUAUAUUUAAUGAAAAAUUAUGAUAUUUUUUAUAUUUAUAUUAAAAAUGAUGUAAAAAAUUUAAAAUUUAAUACUUCUAUAAUUAAUUUUUUUUUAAGUACUAAGAUAUUGUUUUGAAAUAUAUAAUGUAAAUUAAUCACCAAAAAAUUAAUAUAUAAUGAAAUAUAUAACUCCAAACAUGAUAUAAUUAAAUUAAUACAGUACAAUGUAAUACCAAUUGUUGUAUAAUAUUAUUAUAAUUCAAUACUAAUACAAAAAAAUAAUACAAUAUAACUGUAUUAAAAUAAUACAAUACAACAUAAUAUAAUAGAGUGUGUCAAACGCACCCUUAAACAUUUCUGCAACAGAAUAAUAUUACAGCAUCGAAUGGAUUCUCUCCUGCUCAGUUCUCACAUGCUUCCUGGUAAUAUGUUUCACACUAGGACAGCCAGUAAGGGCCAUGGUCAACUCAAACUCAUCCUUCAGCAUUUCGAUGACGCGUCUCACCCAUAUUCCCUUUUGCAGCAAGGCCGUAGACUACAGCCUUCCAAUCUGGAGUAACAUAUGACAUACAUUUGUUUAGUAAUCAAAUAAGGACCCGAACAAAAGUAGUACUGCAGUUGAAAUAAAUUUCUAUGUUACCUUUGUGUCCCUGGAAUCAACUGUUAACAAAAGAGAAAAGAAAGGUGGCUCCAGAGUCUCACCACUGAAAUUAAAAAAACUUAAGGGUGAAGUUGUGAAAAGCUUACAAGUACAGCUUGUGCACCGAGGGCCAAUGCUUGAAAACAUCUGUUCCUCGCCGCACUCCUCCAUCCAUAAGAAUUGGAACUCUUCCUUUAACGGCAUGAACCACCUGCAAGCUCAGGGUUCACAAGUAUAAAAUGUAUUGGUUACGAUUUCCUUGGUAAAAUCUAUGUGUAACCCAAAGUUGUCAGGGGACACAUAUCUUAUUCAAAAUGCUGGUCAUUUCUACAUCGAGCUAGUUAGAUCGAAAAAUGUAUUGUUACAAGAUCUCCAUCAUUAAUACAUGAAACGGCAAGUUCCAUUGUCUACACGUCAGAAAACUAGCAAAAACUACAUGCAUUAGCAUUGUUAUGAGCACCCUAUAGAUUUGCGUCUCCUGUUUCCCGAUUCAUAUGCCUUAAAUUAAAACUCAGAAUAUUAAUUAGGAGAAUUAUGUAAUCCUUAAUAAUAUGAUAUUUCUCAACCUUUCAAGUUAAAUUCAAUGGCAGCAGCAAUGUUGUCAGUUUGGAUUCCCUUUUACAGUCUUAAAAAAUUUUAGAAUGCAUUCUACUAUCAACAUUAAUCAAAAUAAACUGACACAUAUUUGUAAUCAAUUCAAUUCUCACAAUUAUUUACGUACUUGUAAAAGUGAAGUAAGUUUAGAUCUAUAUACAAAUCUAGAUCAUAUUGUCUGCAGUUUAGAAAGCUAAAAGUGGUGUGAAAUUUAUAGUCACCUCUUCCAGAGCAGAAAUAGUGGCAGGACUAUAAUCUAACUGUCGAGCUCCGUGAUUGGAGACAAUAAUCCCAGCACACCUACUUCCACAGCUUUAUUUGCUGAAAAUUUUAGAACCAGCAAUUAACAAAUCUUCAAUAGGAACUCACAAAUAAAUGAAAAUAUUUCUGAUGAAAUUCAUAAAAGAGAUAGAUAGUGACGUGAGGAGAGGAUAUUUAACAAGAAUAUUUUCAUUUGGAUGAUUGGCAUCUCCAAUUGUACAAACUUUAAUUCUAAGUCUUUAAUCCACUACCAAAUCACUGCAUAAAUAAACUCUGGCUUAGAGACUCACAAUGUAUAAAUGGAAAAGAAUCCUCUUUUAGUCUAAGGCUACAUGGAAAACAAAACAAAGCGAUACUCAUAUCAUCAGAUGGAGCUUUGAUCUUACCAUCUUCACGAGUAAGUAUCCCUUGAUCAAAAUUGGUAAGUUUUGUAAUAGAUCUUAGCCAUUCUAAAUCCUGCAGAAGCAUAUGAUAUUCUUCAGACUCAAAACUUUACGAGAGUAUUGAGAUCAAUAGCCACUCAAAACUUCGCAGAAGCAUUUGUUCUAAGUAGCUGAAUAAUAUACACUUAUUUUUUCUUGAUAUAUUUCCGAGCAAGGGAAAGAAACAGCAGGACAGAUUUUUUCUUGAUAUACAAAAGGUGAAAGACUUCACUGAUCUCUACCUUCCAACUUAAAGAAGCAUCCAUGGUCUCGUUGGCAUCAGCUUCAAAAUUCGAACCUGUAUCCUGUAAAAAGUGUAAUCCAUUAAGUUAAAGUAAAGGAUUAUAGAUAUAGUCUAUGAGUUUAAACAAGCAGUAAAAGUAAAUGCCGGCUGAGAACCAGAAAUAUCAAAAAUAAAUAAGUGAAACUGUAACACUCACAGAGCUGACUUUGGUUGAUAAGAGGCCUUCCAAAUUCUUCAACGGCGGUGUAAUCAUUCUGCAGAUGUUGUUGAGUGAGAUUCAAAAGACAAUGUUUACUGUACCAAAUAAAAGGUAAAGGCACUAUAUAUUUCUUUUGAUGUCACAAUACAACAUUUGUGUCAUAAUCACUAUCCUAAAAGGUUUUUUUUAACCAAAGUUUCAAUUCAAUUAUAUGUGGUAGUACUUGGAAUAUAUAGAAACCAAAGAUAAAAAAGAUGAUAAUUCACUUGUUCUUUAUAUCUGCCUCCUUCUACAAGUCUUGGAGUAUCAGCAGUUAGGACAAGAGCCUUAAAACAUUCCUUUCAGCUCUCUGCACUAGAGUAGCUGUUAUAUCUCGUUUCUUGAAUACCUAUUCACAAAAGGAGCCAUAGUGUGGUUCAAACCCUUUAAGUAACAUUAUAAGAAAGAAGAAAAUAGUUGUUGCUCAAAAAAUGAGCAGUUUCCUAAUAAGAAUAGGAGGGGAAAAUAAAAAUAAAAAGGAAAAAGAAAAAAGAAAGAGCCCAAGACAAGCCAACUACAUAUAAUUGAUAGAAGCGAACAGCAUUGGAGCUGGCCGCAACCUCCUCUAUGGAGCUGCUAGAUGUGAAGGAUAAAACCAUUAUGGUGUUACAUGAAGCUGCUGCUCUGGCUGUGGCUACCUCUCCUGGAAUAUAUACAAACACUUAAUGUUAGAAUUUGAACAAAAUCUUCAUGAUGUACAUCUUGAAGAAGGAAUAAGACUUCAGGGUUUGCAAGCUUAUGCAAAGCGUUGGAGCAAUGAUAAUGGGAGCCGAGAUUUUGUAAUCAAGUAUGGUAGUCGAUAAAUCAAUUCUGCUGACAUCGACAAGAAUUCUUGCCGAAACCUGAAGAGAUAAUAAAAAAUCCAUUUGAAAGUUCUGAAUCUAGUUCUAAGAUUACUCAUUGAACUCAUUUGUCUUACGUAAUUCUAUGAAAGGCUUCCACAUUCUCUUUUAGGGUAUGUUCAUCUUCUGCUCCACCAGCGUAGAAAUCAUAAUACAUUUUUGGAAGGCCAGCCUUGCCAUUCUUGGAACUCAUUCAAAUUAACAGGUUCAGCUGCCAUUUGGAACCUGCAAACGUGGACAUUAUCAACUUUUCAAGUAAAUCAAUCCAGAUGCUACAUACUGCAUGCAUAAAUCAGAAUAAUUCAUUUCAAGAAACUUAAAGCAGCAUUUGGAUAUAGCAAGAAAAUCCUGUAAUAGGUGACACUUCUCUUCGGAAGUGAACAAAUGGUAUGCCAACAUUGCAUAGGCCCCCCCCCCCCCCAAAAAAAAAAAAGAAAAAGAAAAAGAAAAACGGUUCUCAGGAUCAUUCUAUAACACACAAACACUUGUUUAAAAUAAUAACGGAAAUAUUGUUUUCUUUCUGUAAAUUUUCAGUGUACAGUGUUCUCGUCAUACCGUCAAGAAAUAUACCGUAUACAAUAAAGUAACAUUUAAGCGCUUUCUUAUCCGUCAAUGAUCCAUUAUACAUGUAAUUUCUAAGAUACAUACAGACAUACAUACACACUAGCACAUGAUAACAGCUAAAUAUGGUUCACAUCUAUAAAAUCAGUAAGAUACGAUGAUCCAAUAUAGCAUUUCACGUACUUAAGCUCACAGGCAAGUUCAUCAUGAUCAAAACAUGCUUACGAAUCACGACAUCAGAAAAAAAAAAAAAAAAAAAAAAAAAAACUUCCUGAAAGAGAGAGAAUAAAGAUACCGAUUCGAAUAACUAUUAAUCAAACUUAAACAAUAGAAUUUUGUAAAGAAAUGAACCCGAAUGACUAAAAUUUCAACUGAUGAAGGUCGAUCGUGAGGCAGAUUACAACAGUGAGUCGGGGCAGAGUCAAAGUCAAGAAGCAUAUAAAGGAUUAGUAUUACUUAAUUUGUCAUUUGACGUGUUUCCUACAAUUAUAGUCUUAUCAACUUCUAUCAUUUUUCAGAAUUUUGUUGUUUUCUUGGGCUUGCACGGUGGAUACAGGCUCCGUAUAUUCCUUACGUUUUUAUUAUUUUUUACUUCCUCUUCUUGGAUUGUACCAUCACUUGCCUUCUCUCUAUAUUAUAUAUAUAUGGACAAAAAUAAAAUGAAGUGAGAAUCAAGAUUAAUUUAGUUACCAUAGAUAAAGCGUUUGAUUUUAAAUAUUUUUUUUUACAAAAUUUAAGAAAUUUAAACAAAAAAUCUUUAUAUCCAUUCUUUUGUUGAAACAGGCAGUCGUUCACACGAAAACUGAUUGCCAUUGGGCUUCCUGUCUAGAGUCCAGACAGUAAGAACUGGGCCUGCUGUAGGAUGGCCCAAAUAGAACAAAACGCAUAUAAUGAGCAAAAUCAAAGCAUUCAACAUUGUAACCGAUCUAUAUGUUUUUGCAUAUUCAGUUUCCACGCCUUUCAAACUGUCUAGGCAGCCGUGAUGCCACCUGUACUCGGGUCUUUGAUCACCAUUGUCUCUCUGUUCAUGCAAGAAUUUGCAGUUGUCUCCAAAAUAGCAUCUUCCAUUAGGAUAAUAUGGGCAGAGCGUUGUUUCAUGCAGCUUUUGUUCUGAGGUGGACAUGUUGGAGGAUGAUGGUUAAUGCUUUUCAAUCGCUGUCUAUUGAUUGGAGCCUCCCUAAUGCUGCUGAGCUUAACAAUAGGAUCUUGAGGAACCUGUGUCUGGCAAUUAUUCUGCAUUACUGCCAAUUCCUGCUCUAACCAUUGUGAAAGCAGCUUUGCUGCUUUUUGGAAUCAGCAGAAAGCUGAGGUUGAGCUGCCAGCUUCCUAUGAUCGACUGAUAAGCUUGGUUUUUGAGGUUGAACUGAUAACUGCUGAGGUCCAUUCUUCAUUUGAUUAGAGUCCAUAUUCAAGGCUAGCUGUUGUUGAGACAGAAUCUCCACUUUUUCUGUUACAAUCAAAUUCAUUUGACACUGGCAACUUUUUGGAACCUGAUUUAUGGACAUCCUGAAGAACAAACAACAUAAGCAUGUAAAUCUUAAAAUAACAUGAUUUAUGGACAUCUUAAAAUAACAUGGUUGAGUUUCUUCAUUUUUAUAUGAAAUUAUACCUAUUUGCUUUCAGCAAUUUCCUCUUUUCCUUUCCAUGGAUCCGUAUUUCUCUAUUAGACCUUGCAAUAAAACCCCUUGAGUGCUUCUCCAUCAAAACCUUGUGUCUCUCCCCUUCGUCUUCCCAUCUCUGACAGCAACAAUAUGGGCAAAGCUGGGUUAAUAUUUAAGGAUCCACAGAUAAUAGGAAGAAGAAACUUCAGCUCUGUGCAAACCUGUCUCAAGGUCUUCAGACGAUAAAGGUUUCGACCUUUAAUUAGGAGAGGACGAAGUGGAGGGAGUGGCUUCUCCCCUUUGCUCCAAAGUACCUCUAUCUGAAAGAUUAGCCAAAAACAGCACUUUAAUCACAAUAAUUAUUUUGACGGAAUUUAAAAUACAGCAUCUGCCUGUUCAAAAUUUACUCCUAGAAAAUUUAUCUCAAUUGUAGGUAAACCAACUAGAGAAAUUCCAUCCAUCAAAUUUGCUUGAAAUGGUCAUACCGCAAAAUCAAGAAAUAUCAUUACCCUAAUGCAUAAACCCAGAUAACUGAACAGUUUUAAGACAUGACAGUUCAAGAAUAGUCAUAGAUUUUCUAUGAUUAAUGGCUUUCCAAUAAACUCCCAAAGUCCAAAUUAUAUAGGGCUUAUGACUCACUGUAAAUGUAUGUUGUUGCUUGGCUGCUCCAUAGCUUUCUUUCACAAUGCGGCCAGCAACAAUCCUUUUGCCACAUGGGGGACCACUUGCACUACAAGCUGCUAUGUUAAACCUAAUUAAUGAUGUAGAAAUAAGGUAAGAACAAAACACUCAACGGUUGCAAAACAACUUUGAGAAAAGAGCACAGCGAUACUAGCAAAUCUAAAGUAUUUGUUGUCAUUGUUACAUUUGUAAAUCAAAUAAUCUAUUGACAGAAUUACUAUUCUUUGGUAGAUAUAGGAGGUUAAACGCCAGUUUCAUUGAACUUAUAUUUAAGGCAGAUAAACAUAGAGUCAUAGACCAAUAGCUUACAUUUUGUAAACAUUCUGUUUAAACAUAACAACGUCACCUGUGCAAGCGUCACCUGCAUUUAAUCGGUACGNCAGAACUUUCGGAGAUGGAAAAUCUCCUGGCUGUGUGUAUAAGUUUCGAUAAUAAUGAUAAAAAGGGAGGAAGAAUAAGGAUGAUGAAGACCGUCUUGAGGGCUUACAGUUGCCUCAAAAUCUUGAGACCUUAAACAUUUUUGACCAUAGAGGUAACAGGAUUUCUCGCCUGAGAAUAAUGUUGUUAUCUAAGUUGCAGUCUAUGGCAUUAGAUUGGUGCAUGAACUUAGUGCAAUUGCCUCCUUUGGGAGAAUUGGCAGCCCUUGAGUCACUGAUUACACUAAGGAUGAAGAACUUGUAAAGGUGGGGAAUGAAUUUUUGGGAACAGAUCAAAGCCGUGGGAAACCAUUUGUUGCUUUUUCUAAAUUGAAUUGACUUGUUUUUAGAAAAUGAAAGUAUGGAAAGAGUGGAAAUAUAAAAUGAGGAAGAGGGCAAUUAUGUAAUCAUGCCAAGUCUUCAUUCAUUAACAAUUGGAUUCUGCCCCAAAUUAGAGACACUUCCGGAUGACCACUGUCCUUGACACUAUAUUCGAAGAUCAUUUCAUGUCCUGUGCUGGAAAAUUGUUAUAAAAAGGGAACAGCAGAGAGGCAAAAGAACUCUCAUAUCAAGAUUUCUUAUGCAGUUGAAUGCAACAGACACAAGGUAACUCUUCUCCUUGUUUUUACAUAGUUUGAUUUUUAGAAUUCGUUUUUGGUUUUUCAUGAUCCUGUAAUCUUUUGUCGUAAAUAAAAUAGAUAUGCAACCACCUGCAUUUGUAAAGAGAUGUUAAUUUAAUGUAUUGUUCUAUUCACUUAGAAAUUGUGGAUGACAUCACUGGAUAAUUUGAUCUUAUUGGUUUUUUUUCCAGGAGAAUGGUGUGAGAAGUAUUCUGGAGAGGAAUCAAAUGUUAUAUGUCGUGCCCAUUUCAGAUAUCAAAUAUUUGGUAAGUUAAUCUCUUCAACUCACACAUAUCACAUUCCUGGUCUUGGUUUUCAGAAUGUAGAACUGGCUACUAGGCACAGCAACUAAUCAAUAGAAUUGUAAAAUUAUAUCUCAGUGCAGAGCAAUUACUUCAAAGUCUCCAAAGAUGAUGUGGGCGAGACAGAACCUUCCCCUUUGAAACAGAAAGAAAACGUUAUCUUAAAACUUUUGCUUAUAGUUAUGUUACAGUUUGAAUUCCUUUACUACUUCAUAAUCAUUAUUCUUCAAUCUUGAGGUGUUUCUCAGAGUGUAAUACAACUUUCAAAAAAUGGAGAUUGCAUUGAAGUCAGAAAGGGUGCGAAAGGCCCUCGAGGGAAGAAAGUUGAUAGGACGCUUUGGAUGGCUAUUGUUAAACCUCGAAUAGUAUGAUAUUGUCUGCUUUAAACAAAAGUCAGGUUAUUUUUUUUCUUCUUCAGUUCUCGUCAAGAGGCAUCAUACUAUUUAAGAAAUGAAUUUGUAUAUGUAGUCUAGCAUUGCUUUUAAAGCAGGCAAUGCAGGACAUUGACUUCCAAUCCUUAUCAUCCUUGAUAUUUCCAAAUCUUGAAUCACAUAUUGAAGCUCUGCAAGGAAAAGGAAAUGGAUCAUUCCAAGUUACCAGUUGCAGGAUGAUGGAAGAUCCGAUUACAAGACAUCAGGGAAUAGUGGCUGGAUUGCCUGAUUCUAAAUGAUAUUCAUGAAUCAUGACCCUUUGUUCUGUCACUUGGUUUCAGGAACUAGCCACUGGAAAUAUUUUCGUUGCUCUUUUUAUGUCUGUCUUUCACAGCGAAGGUAGAAGGUUGAAGCACAAGAGGGUGAUUGAUAUGCUGUUAACUUUUAUCUUAGUACAAUAUACCAAAACAAUUUAUUUUAAUGUAGCAACUGGUAAGUCCUUUUAUUUUCAUGUUAUUCAGCAAUCGAUGCUUUUUGUUCCUCUGUGGCCUCUUUUGUAUUCGAUACAAUAUACAUAAGUUCGACGAAGGGUUCCACUAAACUUCAUUUUUCUGUGAUGCUCACAUAAUUUUGGAUAUGGAGCAGGAGUUGAAGCCACCAAUUCAGACUGAAACGUUGAGCCAAAUUUUACCAAAAUUUCACUUUGUUUGAUGCAUUUGCAUAUUAGGCACUUUAGGUCCGUGCCUUUUGCUAGCUUGUCCUAGAUGGUGCAAGGAAACAGAGUCACAAAAUCAAUCGACAAAAAGAUGUUAUAAACCAUAAAAUACUUCAAAUUUAAUUAGUUUAAAUGAUUGCUCAUGGUUUAAUUCAUCCAUACAUAUAAGGUUGUGUUUGGCACCCAGCAUUACUCCUCAUUAUAGCCUUGUAUUGUAUUAAAUUAAUACAAUACUAUGUUUGGCAAAAAAUGAACUUUGUAUUAGACCACAUUGUAACACACCAAACGCCGCACAAAUUAAACCCGUGAGGGGGGGUCGUAAUUAGGCCGCAUUGCAUUAGAAUAGAAAGCAAAUUCUUUCUUCUUCACGAUCUCAGCCACAACCACAAACCAAAUCUUCUCUUCGCAAAACCCAAAGUAAAUUUUUUCUCUCAAACUCACUCGCCUUUCACUCACAUAUUUUCCUCCUUCUCCUUCAAUUUCUCAAGAGCCAAACAUAGCAAAUGGAAUUACUAAGUGAGCGGUGUAGUCGAAGCGUCUGAAUCUUUUAUUGGAGCCAAUGCGUCAUUUGAAGUUCAAACAACAGCGUAGAGUGGCAGUGGUGCUACGGCGAGAUUCGAACAGACUCUCGUGUAGAUUUCAUUUUUCCAUUUAGGUUUCGAGUUUAAAUGUUUCAAUUGAUGACUCUAUAAAGCCCAAAAAAAUUAUAAUAGUAAUAAUAAUAAUAAUAAUAAUAAUCAUCAUCAUCUAGACUUUUAGUACUCAUAUUGUCCAUGAUAUUAAAAGAAAAACAGAAAAAUACACUGUUACAUAAUAAAUAUGACACUUUCACAUAUAAAGUGAUUGUCUAUAACUCUGCUAAUUAGAACUAAUUAAUUAAAUAUUAAAAUGUAUUUUUUACCUUAAAUGACGUGUUUUCUCUAUCAUUCUUUGAAUACCAGAGACAAAAUGAGGUAUUAAAAAACUAUAAAGGAUUAAAAUGGUAAAAACAAAUUGUGGGAGGGACUCAAGUGUCAGUCUCCCUUAUUUUUCAAUACAAAUUUGUACUCGAAACUUUAACCCUUAAAUUAUCAUAAUUCUCACAAUAGAUAAGUUAGUUUCCUUAUAGAUUCCGUUAUUAAAACCAAAAGUUAAUUACCAGGAAGUCUCAUCACACGUAACUAAGUAUUUAUUAUCUUUAUCAUAUUUUCUAAUUCCCCACAUUAUUUAAUAUUUUCUAUCUGACAAAAUGGUUGUAAAAUACAUAAUUACAUAAAACUCUCAUUGUAAAAGAAAAUUAUUCGGGAGAGUGCCAAAAUAGGGAGGCUGCCACUUUUUUUUCUCAAUCGAGUUUUCGUGUUUAUCACUCACUUAAUAUUUUUAUGGUUUUUAUAUAUAAUACGCAAUUACUUUCUUUAACAGAAAAAUUUAUCUGAGUGAAAAAAAAAAGUUCUUUUCUUUAGAAAUUGGAGUAACAUGAUAUAUUAAAAAAAUUAUAAGAGUAAAUAAUUGGUGAAAUUCGAAAACAAUAGGAGAGGAACGAGCAAAUAACCCGUCAAAGUAGGAAGGUCAUCACAUUAGCGUUGUCUGUCCACUACCGUCUUCAAAUCAUUAAGACUUUAUUGACGUCAUAAGGUAUAAUGAUAUUUCACUACGCUUUAAAAGCGUAAUUUGGACAAUAUUCCGUUAGUUUUCUUAACGGUUUGAAGACGAUAGUGGAUAAGUGUAAAAAAAUAAAUUUAAGUGGAGCACAGUAAAAAAUUAAAAAUUAUAUAUUUUUAAAAAGUGCGGGUAGACGGUAAAUAAUUACCGUUAAUCCAUUCAUCGAACACCUUGUUUAUCUAACAAUAAGGUUAGGUGGCAAAGUAUCAUUUUUCACCUCAUGGGUCAUGAAAUUGGAAAUCGGCAUGUCUUUACGAUUAAGAUUUCUUUUUUUUUUAAUCUAGUUAUCACAUCAUGCGUUUAAAUUUUAUUUGGAGUUGUUAUAAUAUAAUCGAUAGAAAUCUUUAACGUGAGAAAGCAGCAGCAUUACCUUGACGUGCGGUUACUGCUGGCAGUGUGAUUGUUAAUAAUGAAGUAUUUAAUGAGAGAAGGUGGCGUGGAUUUUUUAUGGUGUGGAAUUUUCUAGACUGUAUUUGCACUCUUAGAUCAUGCUUAGAUGAAUUGUGGGGUUGCAUUAAAUUUUGAGAUUAAUAAAAUAAUUUAAUUUAAGGUAUGUUUGGUUGUCAUGAAUUAAUAGGAUAAAUAAAAAUUAAUUCAUAACAAUUGGGAUUAUUAGUCUUUAUAUUUAUAUAGGUUUAGGUGAGAUAAAAUUAAAUGAAGAAUUUGUGUCCUCUUUUCACUAUUUUAUUUUUCAUUUAACCUAAUAUUUUAAUAAAAAUUAAAUAUAGAAGUUAAUUUCAUAAUUUUUUAACCUAUAAUUUUGUUUUAUAUAGAAUAUCAAAAUUUUAUUCAUUAAUUUAAUUAAUAAUAUUGAAUUUUAAACAUAAAAUAAUAAACUAUUUCUUUGUAGUAGCAUUGAAUAUUAAAUAUUAAAGUCAACAAUUUCAAUAUAUUUAUAUUAUUAUUAAAUUUAUUAAAUUAAAUUAAUAUAGUCCUUUUCAAUAUUGUAACAAAUAAAAUGUGAUAUUUUUAUAAUUCAAUCUAAUCCAAUUUAAUUUUAAAAGUUAAUUCAAUCAAAUCAUCUUUCCAAAUGUAACCUGUUAUUAAGGUCUGGGUUUAGUGGCAAUAACAAGACUCAAUCGAUGCUCUCCUACACAAAUUAAUAGAAGGUGUAUGUAUCUCUCUAAAUAUUUUUGGAAGUAUAUAUAACUCCUCGGUAGAUCUCAAAUUACACUAUAUAAGCGUAUAAACUUAAGCUAAUAAUAGAUAAUAGGUUGUAAGAUGUAACAAUUUUUUUUUUAAUAAAAAAAGCCUUCCUGUUACUUUGACUGUCCGUGCACUGUUGCACGGGUCGAUAUAAUUGGUCUAUCAUUUUUAUUUGUGUUUUAUAAAAGUUGCAUGAAUAUGAGGCUUUUCAAUAUCAACUCUUAAAAUUAAAAACUCUGAUCGGUCUGGUACUUAUCUUGGCGGCUUUGGGAAUAAUUGGGACGUCUUCGGGCAGCUUUUUUUUUGAGGUGAUAUGCCAUGUUGCUAGUUAUUGAAAAUGCCAUUGCUAGAGGUUGGAAUUAUUCAUGGCAUGAGGUUAUGCUUCAAUUCUUGUUAUUACUUAUUUUGUAAUCUCGAGAAUUGGAUUUAAUUAACUACUGCAUCGUGUGGUGAAUUUCAUGCACUUCAAGAUCAUUCCUACUUUUCGAGGAGAGACCAAUGUUGUUGCUAAUCGAUUAGCUAAUCUCAAGUGUCAAUUGCAGCUCGCUAACUUGGUCGGUUAGAUAUUUCAUCAUCAGAUAUUAUUAGUCUUCUUUAAGAAGAUGCUAAUGGAUUUACUAUUAAUUAAUUUUUUUUAAAUUUAUUAACUUGCCUAUUAGAAUGGGUUUUUGUUGCUCUCAUUUGGGUGGUGGAGUGGAUUUUAAAUAGUUUUUUUUUUUUAUAUACUGAAAUUUUAGGGAGGUAAGACGCAAAAAAAAAAUGAAUUUGCACUUUACCCAUCGCUUAUGUUAAAAAGAAAAAGAAAGAAAGAAUAGACUUUUUGUUUCGUGGAUGCAAUUUAAACUGAAAUGGUAAAAUCUCCUAUUACAAAUAAGUGAUUUGGGUUGGAACCUCCACACGAAUGGGGAAGAAAUCUUUUUGACAUUAGACUAAACAAUAACUAUUAAAAAAAAAGUUUUUUUGAUUUAUUUAAGUUGUGUCUUUUGAAAUAAUUGUUGUUGGUUGGUUGUAUAAAUAAUUAGAUAUGAAGAGAAAAUGUUUAAUAUUUAAUAAAAUUUAUUAUUAAAAGUGCUGAAUUUAAAAGCAGUUAUACAUAUUUGGUAAAUCUUACUGUAAAAUUGUUGUAAGAAUAUAAAUAACUGAAUUAAACAUAAUAUUGAAGCAAUCUUAUUUAGAUAUUUAUAAAUAUGUAUAUAAAUAUUUUUUUAUUGUGUAUAUAUAGGAUUAAUAACUAAAAUAAAUAUUUUAUUUUUUAAUUUUGUUAUCUUAAUAUAAUGAGUAGUAAUAAUAAUAAUUUCUUUAAAGUUAAUAAUUUUAUUUCUUAAAUAAUAAGGAUAAGUUUAAAUGUUUAUAAUAUAUAUGAUGAUAUAAAUGAAAUUAUAUCGAGUAUAAAAUUUAUUCACAAAAUCAAAUUUUAAAAAAUUACUGAUUUCAUAAGUUUUUAAAAUCUACUGUAAAAUAAAAUAAUUUUAAAAAAUUCAUUGAACAUUAAAAAUAAUUUUUAAUUUUUUAAAAUUACUUUAAGUAUUUAAAAUAGUCCAAUGGGGGCCUGCCCACUAUUAAAGCUUCCGUCAACUAUGAUCCAUCUGAAUUAGAAAAAUAUAUCAGAUAAGAUAUUUUAAUAUUUUUUUAAUAGAAUGAUUACUCCAUUAUUAUCCACGUCUUUGUACUUGUCAUUUGCUGCUCCACAGCCGCCUCAAGGCAGCUGCCAUAAAUUGACCGCCAUCUUUCUUUUUUUCUGGUCAACAAGUCAAAAUCUUAUAUUAAUGCAUUAAAGACUUACAAACAUUGUCCAUUAUAAUUGAUUAAGCAGCUCUAUUAUAGUUUAGUUUUUUACGUGAUUAUACCUGUUUUCCUAUUUAUUACUAACAAUUAUUAUUAUAAUAAUUUUUUAAACAAAUUUUUAUUUGACAUCUAACAAUACAAAAAGCCUAAAUUAAAAUUUUCUCUGAAGGCCAUAAAAGCUCUUGAGCUGGCCCUGACUUCGAUUCAUCCCAUUCCAUCUUUAGCUUAUUUUAUUAUGAUCUAAAAUGAAUGCAAAUAUAUGGGAAACAGAUCAACAAUUAUUGGAUAGGCAUGUCCGUGAAUUAACGGUACAUUUAUUUCCUGAAAUGGGAAUGAGAAUGUACUGGAAUGUUAUUGAUGUGUUUAUGUGAGAGAGAGUAGUUAAGAUGUUAGUGGAGAUUGUGGUGGUGAAUUGUUGAAUUUAGAAGAUGGAAUAAGAAUUAUAAAUCAAUAUAGAUUGUGGUGACUUUUUUACAAAGAUAAAUAAAUAAAUAAAGGAUGCAAAGAACCCAGAGAAUAAAGAAAAAAAAACAAAGGAAGAAGAACAGAAGAGAGAAGGACGAAAAAGAAUUGCAGAAGGAGAUUGAGUUUGGAGAUGGUAAAAGAGGGAGAUAAGAGAUAAGGAUGAUGUGUGACCUGUCAGAUUUGUGUUUAUUGUUUUAUAAUUUAUUUUACCAUUUAUUUUAUAAAACAAGCAAAAUAUGUACAAGUUGUUUUGUAAUUCAUCACUCAAUCUAUUUGAAAAGUUUAGAAUUUAUUAGUUUAAUAUAUAUUUAAUGAAAAAUUAUGAUAUUUUUUAUAUUUAUAUUAAAAAUGAUGUAAAAAAUUUUAAAAUUUAAUACUUCUAUAAUUAAUUUUUUUUAAGUACUAAGAAAUAUUGUUUUGAAAUAUAUAAUGUAAAUUAAUCACCAAAAAAAUUAAUAUAUAAUGAAAUAUAUAACUCCAAACAUGAUAUAAUUAAAAAUUAAUACAGUACAAUGUAAUACCAAAUGUUGUAUAAUAUUAUUAUAAUUCAAUACUAAUACAAUACAAAAUAAUACAAUAUAACUGUAUUAAAAUAAUACAAUACAACAUAAUAUAAUAGAGUGUGUCAAACGCACCCUUAAACAUUUCUGCAACAGAAUAAUAUUACAGCAUCGAAUGGAUUCUCUCCUGCUCAGUUCUCACAUGCUUCCUGGUAAUAUGUUUCACACUAGGACAGCCAGUAAGGGCCAUGGUCAACUCAAACUCAUCCUUCAGCAUUUCGAUGACGCGUCUCACCCCAUAUUCCCCUUUUGCAGCAAGGCCGUAGACUACAGGCCUUCCAAUCUGGAGUAACAUAUGACAUACAUUUGUUUAGUAAUCAAAUAAGGACCCGAACAAAAGUAGUACUGCAGUUGAAAUAAAUUUCUAUGUUACCUUUGUGUCCCUGGAAUCAACUGUUAACAAAAGAGAAAAGAAAGGUGGCUCCAGAGUCUCACCACUGAAAUUAAAAAAACUUAAGGGUGAAGUUGUGAAAAGCUUACAAGUACAGCUUGUGCACCGAGGGCCAAUGCCUUGAAAACAUCUGUUCCUCGCCGCACUCCUCCAUCCAUAAGAAUUGGAACUCUUCCUUUAACGGCAUGAACCACCUGCAAGCUCAGGGUUCACAAGUAUAAAAUGUAUUGGUUACGAUUUCCUUGGUAAAAUCUAUUGUGUAACCCAAAGUUGUCAGGGGACACAUAUCUUAUUCCAAAAUGCUGGUCAUUUCUACAUCGAGCUAGUUAGAUCGAAAAAUGUAUUGUUACAAGAUCUCCAUCAUUAAUACAUGAAACGGCAAGUUCCAUUGUCUACACGUCAGAAAACUAGCAAAAACUACAUGCAUUAGCAUUGUUAUGAGCACCCUAUAGAUUUGCGUCUCCUGUUUCCCGAUUCAUAUGCCUUAAAUUAAAACUCAGAAUAUUAAUUAGGAGAAUUAUGUAAUCCUUAAUAAUAUGAUAUUUCUCAACCUUUCAAGUUAAAUUCAAUGGCAGCAGCAAUGUUGUCAGUUUGGAUUCCCUUUUACAGUCUUAAAAAAAUUUUAGAAUGCAUUCUACUAAUCAACAUUAAUCAAAAUAAACUGACACAUAUUUGUAAUCAAUUCAAUUCUCACAAUUAUUUACGUACUUGUAAAAGUGAAGUAAGUUUAGAUCUAUAUACAAAUCUAGAUCAUAUUGUCUGCAGUUUAGAAAGCUAAAAGUGGUGUGAAAUUUAUAGUCACCUCUUCCAGAGCAGAAAUAGUGGCAGGACUAUAAUCUAACUGUCGAGCUCCGUGAUUGGAGACAAUAAUCCCAGCAACACCUACUUCCACAGCUUUUAUUGCUGAAAAUUUUAGAAACCAAGCAAUUAACAAAUCUUCAAUUAGGAACUCACAAAAUAAAUGAAAAUAUUUCUGAUGAAAUUCAUAAAAGAGAUAGAUAGUGACGUGAGGAGAGGAUAUUUAACAAGAAUAUUUUCAUUUGGAUGAUUGGCAUCUCCAAUUGUACAAACUUUAAUUCUAAGUCUUUAAUCCCACUACCAAAUCACUGCAUAAAUAAACCUCUGGCUUAGAGACUCACAAUGUAUAAAUGGAAAAGAAUCCUCUUUUAGUCUAAGGCUACAUGGAAAACAAAACAAAGCGAUACUCAUAUCAUCAGAUGGAGCUUUGAUCUUACCAUCUUCACGAGUAAGUAUCCCCUUGAUCAAAAUUGGUAAGUUUGUAAUAGAUCUUAGCCAUUCUAAAUCCUGCAGAAGCAUAUGAUAUUCUUCAGACUCAAAACUUUACAGAGAGUAUUGAGAUCAAUAGCCAACUCAAAACUUCGCAGAAGCAUUUGUUCUAAGUAGCUGAAUAAUAUACACUUAUUUUUUCUUGAUAUAUUUUCCGAGCAAGGGAAAGAAACAGCCAGGACAGAUUUUUUCUUGAUAUACAAAAGGUGAAAGACUUCACUGAUCUCUACCUUCCAACUUAAAGAAGCAUCCAUGGUCUCGUUGGCAUCAGCUUCAAAAUUCGAACCUGUAUCCUGUAAAAAGUGUAAUCCAUUAAGUUAAAGUAAAGGAUUAUAGAUAUAGUCUAUGAGUUUAAACAAGCAGUAAAAGUAAAUGCCGGCUGAGAACCAGAAAUAUCAAAAAAUAAAUAAGUGAAACUGUAACACUCACAGAGCUGACUUUGGUUGAUAAGAGGCCUUCCAAAUUCUUCAACGGCGGUGUAAUCAUUCUGCAGAUGUUGUUGAGUGAGAUUCAAAAGACAAUGUUUACUGUACCCAAAUAAAAGGUAAAGGGCACUAUAUAUUUCUUUUGAUGUCACAAUACAAACAUUUGUGUCAUAUCACUAUCCUAAAAGGUUUUUUUAACCAAAGUUUCAAUUCAAUUAUAUGUGGUAGUACUUGGAAUAUAUAGAACCAAAGAUAAAAAAGAUGAUAAUUCACUUGUUCUUUAUAUCUGCCUCCCUUCUACCAAGUCUUGGAGUAUCAGCAGUUAGGACAAGAGCCUUAAAACCAUUCCUUUCAGCUCUCUGCACUAGAGUAGCUGUUAUAUCUCGUUUCUUGAAUACCUAUUCACAAAAAGGACGCCAUAGUGUGGUUCAAACCCUUUAAGUAACAUUAUAAGAAAGAAGAAAAUAGUUGUUGCUCAAAAAAAUGAGCAGUUUCCUAAUAAGAAUAGGAGGGGAAAAUAAAAAAUAAAAAAGGAAAAAGAAAAAAGAAAGAGCCCAAGACAAGCCAACUACAUAUAAUUGAUAGAAGCGAACAGCAUUGGAGCUGGCCGCAACCUCCUCUAUGGAGCUGCUAGAUGUGAAGGAUAAAACCAUUAUGGUGUUACAUGAAGCUGCUGCUCUGGCUGUGGCUACCUCUCCUGGAAUAUAUACAAACACUUAAUGUUAGAAUUUGAACAAAAUCUUCAUGAUGUACAUCUUGAAGAAGGAAUAAGACCUUCAGGGUUUGCAAGCUUAUGCAAAGCCGUUGGAGCAAUGAUAAUGGGAGCCGAGAUUUUGUAAUCAAGUAUGGUAGUCGAUAAAUCAAUUCUGCUGACAUCGACAAGAAUUCUUGGCCGAAACCUGAGAGAUAUAAUAAAAAUCCAUUUGAAAGUUCUGAAUCUAGUUCUAAGAUUACUCAUUGAAACUCAUUUGUCUUACGUAAUUCUAUGAAAGGCUUCCACAUUCUCUUUUAGGGUAUGUUCAUCUUCUGCUCCACCAGCGUAGAAAUCAUAAUACAUUUUUGGAAGGGCCAGCCUUGCCAAUUCUUGGAACUCAUUCAAAUUAACAGGUUCAGCUGCCAUUUGGAACCUGCAAACGUGGACAUUAAUCAACUUUUCAAGUAAAUCAAUCCCAGAUGCUACAUACUGCAUGCAUAAAUCAGAAUAAUUCAUUUCAAGAAACUUAAAGCAGCAUUUGGAUAUAGCAAGAAAAUCCUGUAAUAGGUGACACUUCUCUUCGGAAGUGAACAAAUGGUAUGCCAACAUUGCAUAGGCCCCCCCCCCCCCAAAAAAAAAAAGAAAAAGAAAAAGAAAAACGGUUCUCAGGAUCAUUCUAUAACACACAACACUUGUUUAAAAUAAUAACGGAAAUAUUGUUUUCUUUCUGUAAAUUUUCAGUGUACAGUGUUCUCGUCAUACCGUCAAGAAAUAUACCGUAUACAAUAAAGUAACAUUUAAGCGCUUUCUUAUCCGUCAAUGAUCCAUUAUACAUGUAAUUUCUAAGAUACAUACAGACAUACAUACACACUAGCACAUGAUAACAGCUAAAUAAUGGUUCACAUCUAUCAAAAUCAGUAAGAUCACGAUGAUCCAAUAUAGCAUUUCACGUACUUAAGCUCACAGGCAAGUUCAUCAUGAUCAAAACAUGCUUACGAAUCACGACAUCAGAAAAAAAAAAAAAAAAAAAAAACUUCCUGAAAGAGAGAGAAUAAAGAUACCGAUUCGAAUAACUAUUAAUCAAACUUAAACAAUAGAAUUUUGUAAAGAAAUGAACCCGAAUGACUAAAAAUUUCAACUGAUGAAGGUCGAUCGUGAGGCAGAUUACAACAGUGAGUCGGGGGCAGAGUCAAAGUCAAGAAGCAUAUAAAGGAUUAGUAUUACUUAUUUGUCAUUUGACGUGUUUCCUACAAUUAUAGUCUUAUCAACUUCUAUCAUUUUUCAGAAUUUUGUUGUUUUCUUGGGCUUGCACGGUGGAUACAGGCUCCGUAUAUUCCUUACGUUUUUAUUAUUUUUACUUCCUCUUCUUGGAUUGUACCAUCACUUGCCUUCUCUCUAUAUAUAUAUAUAUGGACAAAAAUAAAAUGAAGUGAGAAUCAAGAUUAAUUUUAGUUACCAUAGAUAAAGCGUUUGAUUUUAAAUAUUUUUAUUUUACAAAAUUUAGAAAUUUAACAAAAAAUCUUUAUAUCCAUUCUUUUGUUGAAACAGGCAGUCGUUCACACGAAAACUGAUUGCCAUUGGGCUUCCUGUCUAGAGUCCAGACAGUAAGAACUGGGCCUGCUGUAGGAUGGCCCAAAUAGAACAAAACGCAUAUAAUGAGCAAAAAUCAAAGCAUUCAACAUUGUAACCGAUCUAUAUGUUUUUGCAUAUUCAGUUUCCACGCCUUUCAAACUGUCUAGGCAGCCCGUGAUGCCACCUGUACUCGGGUCUUUGAUCACCAUUGUCUCUCUGUUCAUGCAAGAAUUUGCAGUUGUCUCCAAAAUAGCAUCUUCCAUUAGGAUAAUAUGGGCAGAGCUGUUGUUUCAUGCAGCUUUGUUCCUGAGGUGGACAUGUUGGAGGAUGAUGGUUAAUGCUUUUCAAUCGCUGUCUAUUGAUUGGAGCCUCCCUAAUGCUGCUGAGCUUAACAAUAGGAUCUUGAGGAACCUGUGUCUGGCAAUUAUUCUGCAUUACUGCCAAUUCCUGCUCUACCAAUUGUGAAAGCAGCUUUGCUGCUUUUUUGGAAUCAGCAGAAAGCUGAGGUUGAGCUGCCAGCUUCCUAUGAUCGACUGAUAAGCUUGGUUUUUGAGGUUGAACUGAUAACUGCUGAGGUCCAUUCUUCAUUUGAUUAGAGUCCAUAUUCAAGGCUAGCUGUUGUUG